GUGGUGAUGGUGGUGGAGGUGGUGGGGACUUGUACUUGUAAGGGUGCUUGGGUGGUGAUGGUGGUGGAGGUGGUGGAGACUUGUACUUGUAAGGGUGCUUGGGUGGUGAUGGUGGUGGAGGUGGUGGAGACUUAUACUUGUAAACUGGAGAUGGUGGGGGUGGAGACUUGUACUUGUAAGGGUGCUUGGGUGGUGAUGGUGGUGGUGGUGGGGACUUGUACUUGUAAGGAUGCUUGGGUGGUGAUGGUGGUGGAGGUGGAGGAGACUUGUACUUGUAAGGAUGCUUGGGUGGUGAUGGUGGAGGAGGUGGUGGAGACUUAUAGUUGUAAACAGGAGUUGGUGGGGGAGGAGAUUUGUACUUGUAAGGCUUCUUGUGUGGUGGUGGUGGUGGAGAGUAGACCGGAGGAGGCGGUGGUGGAGACUUGUAAUGGUAAGGUGGUGGUGGGUACUUCUUAGGUGGUGGUGGAGGAGAAGAAUAAGUGUAAUCUGCUGAGGUUUCAAAAGGCAAAUUGAGAGACACUGCUAAAACUAAAAGAGUGAGAAAGAGAGAGGUCAUUGAUGACCCCAUUUUCCCCAUCCUUACUUCUAAAAAUGGGUUUAAUUUGGUUAUGCUCUUAGCAGCCCUCUUCACUCCCUUUAUAUAGACUUUGUUUUAAAGUUACAAUCAUGAUAAAAGUGUGAAGGUGGACCGAACCUUCAGCAGCAUUGAAAAAAGACGUUACGUUUAGGUUAUUAGCAUGGUAUGACAUAAUAAUUCUCUAUUCUCUUCCUUGUCGUUUCCCAUAAAUUUAAUUUAAAUAGUCCAUUUGCUAUAUUUAUAUUUCUGUUUCUCUAUUAAAUAUUUAUCAAAUUCAUUUCUCACUCCUUAUAGAAUAUGAAUAAUUAAUCAUUAAACUCGAUUUAGUAAAUACUUUAAAAAAUGAUUUAUCUUAUUUUUAUGCUUUAAUUAAGGCAUCAAAUCAUUAAUCCCAUUUGAUAUUAUGAAAAUUUAUCACUUAAUUGAUCAAAAUGUGAUUCUUGGCAGGAAAACAUAAUUUACUUUCCUUAAAAUGUAAUUUUUAUUGAGAGUUAUUUUUCCACUAACAAUAGAAAGUGAUUCUCUUUAUAAUUCGUGAAAAAAUUACUUUCACAUGUAAAUAAAAAUUGUUAGGAUAAAAUUAACUUUUCUUUUAUUUAUGUUAAGGUUACUAAUUAACUUAUUCAACUUUAAUAAAAGAUAAACAUAGUUGUAGCUUGUUUGUUGAUGUUAGUUUUUUGUCUUUACAACUUCAAACCAUUAUUCUAGUGUAAUUUUUUUUUCUUUCUAAAUAGUAGAUAAGUAUCUAUAUUUUAUUUUGCUAUAAGAAAAUUAUAUUUUUUAGCAUACAAAACUUAAGAUAACUUGUAGAAUCAAGUAGUUGUAUACCUAUUACUCUAGCAAUAAUAAUAUUGACAUUGUCUACUUUCAAAUUAAAAUUUCAAAUUAGUUCAUUGCCCAAUUUUCUCAUUAAAAAAAAUUAUAUAUAACAUGUCAACUUAACGAAACUUACAUGAAAUUUUGUAUGUGUUAAAAAUGAAAAAUAUGGCGGUUAUUAAAAAAGAUGUCAUACAUCUAAAUCAAACUACUAAUUUAAAAAUUAGUAUUGAGAUAAUUUCAAGCCAUAUAUGCAAUAUUUGAGUAUACUUGAACUUAUACAUACAAAUUAGUGAGGAUUAAAAUUUUGUAAAUUGUACAUCUUCACAAUCUUGCGUUAAUAUACAAUUUUUUUAAUGUAUUAAUAUAAUGUUUUAGAUCAAGACGUGAAAAAACAUAAUUCAAAUAUUUGUUAAUAGUAAAAAAUUAUUAAUAAAUAUUUAAUUCAAAAUUUAUUAAUAAUAAAAAUUAUUGAAAAAUAUUAAAUACGUUAAUAUUAUUUUUAUUUAAUAAUGAUACUUUUGUACAGUAAUCUUAUAUUCCCAAAUAAGUGUUAAAUGUGUCAAGAUUUUAAUCAAUACUUUCCGGUGAUUACCAAACGUUGUGAAGUAACUUCUUAAACAAUAAUAUUCUUAUCAAUCACAUUCCAUUAAAAUUUUAACAUAGAAAAGCACCAAAACGCCCCCUUAAAAUCGUGGUAAGUCUUGUUUGUCUAAAAUUUAAAUAUUUAUUUUAUUAUUUAAAAUAUAUUAAUUUUCUAAAAAAAAUCAUUAAUAUUUAUAUUUCUAAUUUUAAACAUUCUUUUGUUAAUUAAAUGAUAGUCUAAACGGUUAAACUCAAAUCGAAAGCAUUUUAUCUUAUAUUAGAUUAUAUGAAUCAUAUUAUGGUUGAAAGUAAAAUGUAUAAAAUCAAUACAAACAUCAAAUAUUAAACUUCCACUCAAUAGAUUUUAAAAUUUCUAAUUUUAUCACUAAUCUAUUUUAAGAUUUUUUUAAAAAAAAUCGUACUUUAGAUUAUCUAAUUUAAAAUUUUAUAAAAUUAUUAAAAAAUAUUCUUGUAAUAAAAAAAAUUUGUUUUAAAAUUUUUAAUUUUUUAUAUAACCAAUGAAUUUUUUACGUUUGUUUUAACUGGUUAUCUAAACAAAAUAAAAACUUAUUUAGUUUAAAUAAAGUGGUAAAUGUGAAAGCACCACAAAUCACAACUACAUUAGUUUUAUAAUUGGAUUAAUUUAAUCACCGGCAGAGGAAAUGUGUUAGUUCUAGCUACCAACAAUUCAUUUUAAUUCCUUUAAAAAUAUUAGAAAAAACCAAUUUGAUUUUUAAUAAUAGAUCUAAUUACUUAAAGGAACAUGGGUGAUGUGCACAUGGCAUACAAGCAUAAAAAAGAACAAAAAGAUUAAGUAUCUUUGCAAAAUAUCUCUCUCUGAAAUAAAUAAAACUUAAAAAAAAACAAUUUUAUUAUCAAAAUAAAAAGAAAAUAGUGUUUUUCUUCACAAAAAAAGAAAAGAAAAGAAAUACUAGUGUUUUUAAUUAAAAUAGAGUGAUCUGGGUAGAAUCUUUUACUUAAAUACUGACAUUGACUUUAUAAGCUAUUUUUUAUCAAAAGAAGAAAGAGAAAAGCAUCCGAUUGAAGAUGUGAAUUAUUAAGUUAAAAUUAAUCAUACAUGUAAAAUAUUAUUGUGCUUUUUUCUAGCCCUCCGAAAGACAUUAUGCUUUGAUUACAACAUUCUUCCUCAGAGAUGAGGUUUGAAGAUGAACUCGGAUGCAUUUAGAUUUUUACAAGACGAAAGUAAAUUAAAGGAUGUUAGUACUUGUAUUCCGAUACGCUUAUAAUACAGAAAGCAAGUAAUAUGUGACUGUACAUAAUGGCUAUGAGGCGAGGAUAUGAUACGAGAAGAUAGAGAUGAGAGAUUGCACUUAAGGGGUUAGCACCUCUUUUCUUUUUGUGUUUGGUCCCCAAAGCAUAUCUCUUAUUGGCUGAUGUUGCAAGGCGGUCCCAUAAGUUGGGCUAAAAGUGCUUGAUAGCUAGAAUUAAUAUUGUGGUAUAACAUAUGUCACCCCUAUAUUUGAAUAAGGUUACAAAGUGACUACUUGAAGAUUUAAAAAAGCAUGGAGAUAAUUUUGUUGCGAAAAUUAAAAGUAAGAGCUAAAUUGUUUGGCUUUAUUAGAGUAUAGACUCUGUUAGUCUAUUAUCAUUUUGUUAUAUAGGCUGGAAUAUUAUUAGUAAGCAGUUAGCAGCAGUUAGUCAUACAAGUAUAAAUUCUAUUCAUGUAUUGUUCAAAGAUAAGCUAAUAAUACCAGAAGAGAUUUAACAUGUUCAUUCUACUUUUUUUUGUUAUUCUUCAUAAUACAGUUGUUAACAUGGUCUCAGUCGCCAAAUUUCUUGGAGGUUGCUUCUAUUGUAGAUCCAUGGCCAAUUCCACUGAUUCUACCUUCGCUGGUCGUAGCAGUCCCUCAUUCUCAGUUCAUGUUUGGUUCAAUCGUUUCCUCGUCAUGGCACUGUGAAGUUAGAUGAAGGAAAUUUUGUACAAUGGCAACAGCAUAUCCAAUUGAUAAUUGAAGGAUAUGAACUCAUAAGAUUUUUAGAAGGGACGUUACCUGCUCCGCCUCGCUUUGUGUCAUCUCCGGAUGGAAACUUAGCUCUGACUCCCGAUGCAUCCCUGUUUGUUCAGCAAGAUAAGUUACUCGCUUAUUGGUUACUUUUUACGAUUAGUGCUCCUUUGUUUUCUUGUUUUACAACUGCUAAGACGGCGUGUGAGGUUUGGAGCACUGCGAAUUGCCUAUUUGCUGCUGCCACUAGAGCCAAGCUUUCGCGUAUUAAGCAUGAACUCCAGUCCAUCACGAAAGGCGUGAUGACUAUCAAAGAGUAUAUUGCUAAGAUUCAAAAUACUUGUGCGUUACUCGAGGAAUCUAGAUCAGUGGUUUUAAAGGCUGAAAAGGUAGAGAUCAUUCUUGCCGGCCUAUUGUCUGAUUAUGAUGUCGUUUUAACUCUGGCAUCGUUCUCAACUGAAACUUUUUCGUUAUAAAAGAUUGUUGAUAUGCUUCUGGAGUUCGAAAGCCAUCAGACUCAAGCGGUGAACGACGUACCUUUUCAUGCUCAUUUGGUAGAGGCCACUUCGGCGACAUCCGUGGAGGACUCCGUACGUGGUGGUCGUCCUCCUUCUGGUGCUCGUAGGCGCGACUUUCGAUCUCAGCUUCAGUGCCAGGACUAUGGUUGCUAUGGACAUUUGGUACAAUGCUGUUAUUAUCAGUUCAACCGCGACUACAGUGAUCUGUCUGUUUUGACCAUGGCGCGGGUUUCGCCUGUUCAUGCUGAUCACAAUUAGCAUAACGAUGUUUUUGGCGCAAGUGGUCUCUCGACUAGCUGGUUUUCAUCAACUUGUCCUGGUCCGGACCCGUUCGUGCCUGGACAGUAUGUCGAUUCUUUGGUGGUGACACCGGCGUAUUUCUCUUAUGGCUCAUCAUGGUGAGGGUGGCCACAUUUGCAAAACAAUGCCUCCCUUGUGCCAAGUUUGUUGAAUGUUAAGGUUUCUAACCCUUUUGCUCAUAAUUUUGACGAUGGGGCAGGCUAGGUGUUUGGGCUCGCUGUUGGACCAAGCUCAAAUUGUGGCCAAUUUGGUGGUCCUCACUUACCGCGGAGAAUGGGCCAGCACGUUAGGCCAUUUGCUAGUGUUCCUAGGCCGACUGGUUCAGGCCAAGAUUUUGGGCCAUAUGGAAUUCGUAGGCUAACCAGUGCUGGUCCUAACAUUGGACAGGGUUCACUUGGGCCAAAUGUUAAUUUUGUUAGACUUGAGGGCUCUUUUGGGCAUGGACAAGGACUUUGGCCCACCACUGGCAAUGUUUCAGUGCCAAAUAAUGGGUCAUGCGUUCCAUGGCGCACUAAACUGACGGCGCACAUUAUUGAUUGAUUUCUCACUGUGUGUUGGGUUGCCUCACAUUCUUGAUUUUCAUGUGUCUGAUAUUUUUACUACCUCUGGGUCCAAUGCUAACACGACUCCGUAUGGGUCUAAUUUUGAUAAUGAUAACUCUUACAUUCCUAUGCCUGUAGGGACCUUGUCCUGGUGUCUUAAUUCAGGGUCUAUACAUCAUGUCUAUCGAGAAGCCUCUACCUUGAACGAGUCUACGCCAUACUCAGGUACAUCUCCUCUCCUCAUGGAUGAUAUUACUCCUACAAAAAUAUCAUGUGUUGGAAACUCUAUCUUGCCUACGAAGACUAAGCUGUUUCAUCUAUCUAAUGUUUUGUGUGUGCCAAAUAUACGGAAGAAUCUGCUAUCUGUCUCUCAAUUUGCUAAUGACAAUAAUAUGGUCUUUGAAUUUCACCCGUCUUAUUGAGGACAUCCAGACUCAGGAAAUUUUGCUUCGGGGCCACACUCGUGAUGGGCUCUAUUAUUUUUCGUAGGUUACUCAUGUUCCGUCUGUCGUUGUUCCUUCUGUUCACAACACUGGGCUCCAGAGUCGCAAUGCCGGUGAUGAUGUUUUUACGUUAUGGCACUACAGACUUGGUCAUCCGUCUGCCUCGAUUGUUAAACUUGUUCUCGAUAAGUGUCAAGUUGUUUCAACUAAAAUGUACCUUGAAAAUAUUUGUAUUGCUUGUCAAAAGGGGAAGUCCCAUAAACUGUCUUUUUCAAGUUCUACUACUAAAUAUACGGAUUUGUUUGAAUUGGUUGUCUUUGACUUAUGUGGACUGGCAUCUGUUGUCUGUAGAAAUAAUCUGUAUCAUGUUUCGUUUAUCGACAUGUGUAGUUAUUUUACUUGGAUUUAUCUCAUUAAACGUAAUUCUAAGGAGGUUGAAUGUUUUCUUCAGUUUCAGAAAAUGGUCAAAACUCAGUUUGGGAAAGAUAUUAAAAAAAUUCAAAGUGAUUGGGGUGGUGAGUUUCUUGCCUUUACGUCAGUUCUGGCUAGUCAUGGGAUACUUCAUCACCUCUCCUGUCCAUAUACAUCCGAGUAGAACGAUGUAGCUGAACGAAAACAUCGACACAUUGUUGAGAUGAGUCUUAUUCUAUUGGCCAAAGCUAACCUAUCCAUGGAUUUCUGUGGUUUCGUAUUUUACAAUGCCAUUCAUCUCAUUAGUCUUCUACCGACCCUAGUUCUGAAAGGUCAGUCUCCAUAUCAGGUUCUUCAUGGUAGUGACCCUACAUAUGAUCAUUUACAAGUAUUUAAGUGUUGUUGAUUUUCGUACCUGCGUCUGUUUCUGCAACACAAGUUGGAUUUUCAUUCUCAGCCAUGCAUAUUUUUUAGGUAUAGUUCUCAACAUAAAGGCUAUCACUGCCUCACACCAAAUGGUAAGGUCAUUGUCUCUCGUCAUGUUGUGUUUGAUGAACGUUGGUUUUUCUUUUCUUCAAAUGCUGUGAACACCGUUCAGUUAAGUCCAUGUAUCUCUACAUAUGUUCCUAUUGUUCGGUCUUCAUCUUGCCGCCCCACGACAUCUUCGCUUGUUCGACCCACUGAGUCAUCGACUCUUGCUCCUAAUUGUAGUUCCACGCUGUCUGUUUCAGUUGACACUCCGGCUGAAUUAGGUUUUACUCAUGAGGUGCAUCGGCUCUCUACCUCAUCCCUUGAAUCUCGUCAAUGCGAUCCAACUACAAUUCCAUUGGCUGUUCCAUCUAUUUCUCUGGAAUACUCAUAACACUAUUACUCAGCUAGACCCAAAGCUCUGUCUGUUGAAAUUGUCAACUGUGAGUCGAUCACGAUUGAAGAGGCGCUCGCUAGUAAGGAAUGGCAAUUAGUUGUCCAAGCUGAGUUUGUUGCUAUAAUGGUUAACUCCACUUGGGAGCUUGUUCCCUUACCUCAUGGUCGAAAAGUGAUUAGGUGUAAGUGGCUUUUUAAAAUAAAAAAAUCCUGAUGGGACUAUCACUUGACGUAAGGCUCGGUUGGAAGCAAAGGGUUGUUCUCAGGUACUCAGGUGUGAUUUCAAGGAAACCUUUAGUUUGGUAGUUAAACCUGCUACUAUUAGAACCAUAUUAUCUGUUGCUAUCUCCAACGGUUGGCAAUUUGGUCAGGUAGAUGUGAACAAUGCUUUUUUAAAUGGUGAUCUUAUUGACGAAGUGUUCAUGCAGCAACCUCUAGGCUAUGUUCAGAUUGGUCAAAAUGGUGAGCCCUUGGUGUAUCAUUUGACAAAGGUGUUGUACAGAUUAAGACAAGCUCCACGUGCUUGGUUUGAUAAAUUGAAACGUUUUUUUGUUUCUAUUGGAUUUGCUUUAUCCAAAUCUGAUGUAUCCUUAUUUGUUCAAGUUAAUUCGAAUCCACUAUUUAUGUUUUAGUCUAUAUGGAUGAUAUUAUCGUUACUAGAAGUACGAUCGACGGUAUAAAUGGCUGUAUUCAAUAGUUACAUAAUGUGUUUCCCUUAAAGAUAUGGGAGAUCUUUACUACUUCUUAGGCAUUGAAGUCACUCGGUAGUCCACUGGGAGUCUCCAUUUGUGCCAACGCAAAUACAUUCGGGAUCUUCUUGACAGUAGUUUUUUAGCUAAUGCAAAGAGUGUUCACACACCGAUGGUUAGUUCUUUUACGUUGUUUAAAGAUGUGGGAGAUCGCCUCGUUGAUCCUACUGGAUAUAGAAGUCUUGUCGGUGUAUUACAAUAUGUGGUCUUGACUCUGCCUGAUAUUGCUUAUGCUAUAAAUCAUGUUUGUCAAUUCAUGCAUGCCCCUACUACAGUACAUUUGGUGGCUUUGAAAAGAAUCUUGCACUAUUUAUGUGACACUAUUAAUCAUGGGUUAAUUUUGUCUGUUCAACAUAUUGUCUUUAGUUGGCUAUGCUAAUGCCAACUGGGGACUGGAUUUUGAUGAUCGUAAAUCAACAACAAGCUAUUGUUUGUAUUUUGGGUAUACACCCAUCUCUUGGUGAUCUAAGAGACAACUCUACUGCGUGAGGCGAAGUAUUUUGGCCGCACCAUGGCUGAGGUGAAGUAUCGAAGUCUAGCAACAACUACCAGUGAUGUUACUUGGUUAGUCUCUCUACUAACAAAAUUACAGAUUCAUUCUAUAGAUCCACAUACUAUUUGGCGUGACAACUCUAAUGCAGUAGCGGUCAUUGCUAAUCCGGUCUGACACUCUAAAUUUAAACAUGCCAAGCUUGAUCUAUUUUUUGUUCGCGAAAAGGUCGCUAAUGGUUCUCUCGUUGUCGGUGAGAUUCUAGCAUGUGAUUAAGUUGCUGACAUUCUCACAAAACCACUGUUCGUCUCUACUUUUGCUAGGUUUCGUAGUCUGCUUCAAUUCUUACCUCUUGAGAAGCUGGGUGAAGCCAGGUGAAUAUUAGAGUAUAGACUCUGUUAGUCUGUUACCAUUUUGUUAUUCAGGCUGGAAUAUUGUUAGUAAGCAGUUAGUCAUAGCAGUUAGUCAUACAAUUAUAAAUUCUAUUCAUGUAUUGUUCAAAGGUAAGCUAAUAAUACCAAAAGAGAUUUAAUGUGCUCAUUCUACUUUCUUUGUUAUUCUUCAUAAUACAGUUGUUAACAUGCUUGAUAUCAUCUCUUAGAGAGAACGAGGAGAGAUAAGAGUAAGAGUAUGAGCCAACUAGGGAUAAGGCUCUACCAUAAUACCUUGGAUGCAAUUAAAGUAAGAGUAAGAGCCAACUUGUUUGGCUUGAUAGCAUCCCCUUAUAGAAAAGGCUCUACCGCAUGGCAUGAGAGCAAUAAAAGUAACACUCAAUUUCUUGGGUUGAUAGCAUCUCCUUAGGGAAAAGGGUUUACCAUGUGACAUGAAAGCAAUUAAAGUAAGAGUAAGAUCCAACUUGUUUGUCUUAAUAGCAUCAUUUAAGAGAAAUAUCCCAAUCAAUUUAUUCAAAUAUGUUAAUCAAAUAAUGCAAGUUACAAUGUUCUGUCAGUUUUUCCUUUAAUUGUAACUGGGUUAAAGUUGGUAGUUGUAACUGCUACUAAUAGAAUGGAUACGGUAGAAAUGGUUGCAAGCAACAUAAGCAAAGAUGACUUUAAUGUCUUUGUAUUGACCACGUGAGAACUAUAGAAUGCAGAGAAUAGUAUGGUGAUUGGCAACAGAAUGCUACUAACCUUGAGGAUAGUAGACAGGGAUGGAUCCACGGGGGUUGGGGGCGGUCCCCCCUUGGAAUUUUUAAAAUUUUAAAUUUUAUAUAUAAAUUAUCAUGUAUUUUAAAUUUGGUGUCCACAUUGUAUAGCAUUCACCCCCCUUUUCCAAAUUGCAUUUCAUAUCAUUUGCCCUCUUAAGCCAUAAGGUUAUACUUUAUAUUAACAAAGUAUUUUCCAUUUUUUAAUUAUAUAAAUUUAAUAAUAAUAAUAAUAAUCAAAUAUUAAUAUAUGAUUGGCAUUGAAAGACUAAACAUAAAGGUCCAGUUGAGACUUUAAAGCCAAAUUCCAUAAUUAAUUAAUUGAUUUGGCCCAUACCAGUACAUAUUAGGUUAGCGAAAUUCUUGUAUUUUGAUUUGUAUGUCUUGCUAAGGAAUUAUCUUCCUUUGGUAAGGUGUUGACACUGCCAAGAGAAAAAGAAAGGAUUUUGAUGUCGAGAUUGUGAGCAUAGAGUAAAAAAAAUACAAAUUAUCUUCCUCUUAGCUCCUUAUGGAAAAAACCUCUCGGUAAAUAUUUUUGCAUAAAUUAUGUUUUUUAUUAAUUUGACUUAGUUUUUUUCUUUUUUCCUAAUACAUUGUUGUUUAAUAUAUUCUUACAAUCAUCAGGUUUUUUGACUAAAUUAUGGUCAAUAAAAACAUCGAAUCUAUUUAAAAAAAAAGAGUGUCAGAAAGCAAUAAUGAUCAACCGGUUCCUCAACCUUCCAUUAUUAGUGAAGAAAAAUCAAAUAUCGGAUCUUCCAAAGCUCUUGAACAAAAUAUCAGGUCUUCUUAAGCCCAAGCUCCUAAAUGCGGUAUGGAGUCUUCCCCAACUCCUGAACGAGAUUGUAACAAUCCAUACCCAAUUCGAUCACCAAAUCCAAGUAGAGAGCGCCGCAACUUAAACCAUAUGAAUUGAAUAAUAAAUAUUUGAAAUUUAUUAAAGUAUCGAGUUCUUGGUGUAACCCUCAGUAUAACAAUACGAAACAAUUAAAUCAAUGAUACGCCAGGAAAAAAUGUUUUUAGGCAAAACACAUGGCGGAAGCCUUACAAAAUUUUAUAAGUUUAUAUAAAAUGUAAGAUGAGUUAAUCCCAUACAACAGUUUCAAGUGCAUCGUUGGCGGUUAAAAGAACAUUCAAAAACUAUUCGGCGUAUAUGCCAAUGAGACAAUCACGUGGAACAAGAUAUAGUAGCUUAAACACAUACAUCACUUACCACGUCAUCAUAACAUAUACUAACCAUAUAAACAAACUUAUCGAGCUGCGAACUAACAAGUUCACCCAAACAUCUAGGGUUAGCGAUAACUUAUUAGAAGAGCCCGCCAAACCCUAGAGUUCGCCAAAACCUGGAGUUCACCAAAUGGCGACUCCCAUAGAAUACGCCAAACACACAACCAAAAAUAAAUACUCUACUAAUUUACUCAUUUUAUAUUCUUAGCAUAAACAACUAUGCACCAAACAGUAACUUGAUACAUUAUCUUUCGGGCGAGUUGUUACAAUUCUCCCCCAUUUAGAAACUUUUGUCCUUGAAAUUCUUACCGGUGAAUAACUGAGGAUAUUGUUCUUUCAUCGAACUCUCUCUUUCCCAAAUGGCUUCUUUUGUAUUGUGAUUUAUCUAUAAUACAUUAACCAAAGGAAUUCUUUUACUUCUCAACUCUUUUACUUCCCUUGCUAAAAUACAAACAGGUUCUUCUUCAUAGGACAAGUUUUGCUCCACUUCCAGUGCUUUGACUUGUACCACAUAAUCUGGAUUGGAUUGAUAUUUUCUUAACAUAGAUAUAUUAAACACAUUAUGUAUAUUUGAUAACUCUGGUGGCAACACCAGUUUGUAUGCCACUGGACCAACUUAUUCCAAAAUCUCAUAUGGUUCUAUGAAAUGCAGACUUAAUUUCCCUUUUUGUUCAAACCUUAUGAUCUUCUUCCAAAGAGAAAACUUCAUAAAUGCAUUGUCACCCACUUCGAAAGAGAUUAUUUUCCUUUUUAGAUCAGCAUAAGCUUUCUGGCGAUCUUAAGUUACUUUCAGAUGAUUUCUAAUGAUAAAGACUUUCUCUUCUGUUUCUCAUACUAAAUCAAGACCAACUAUUUUCCUUUUACUGAGUCUCAUCCAAUAGGUAGGAGAUCUGCACCUUCGUCUAUACAAAGCUCCAAAUGGUAACAUUCCCAGACUGUCAUAAUAACUAUUAUUAUACGCAAACUCUAGCAAAGGAAGAUAUCUUUCUCAAUUCAUUCUAAAAUCUAUAAUACAACCUCUAAACAUGUCUUCUAGAACUUGAAAUACUCUUUCAAAUUGCUCAUCGAAUUAGGGAUGAAAGGUAGUACAGAAUCAUUAUUUCGUUCCCAACGAUUCUUGCAGUUGUCUCCAAAAUCUCAAUGUAAACAUUGGGUCUCGAUCUGAAACUAUGGAUGUUGGAAUCCCAUGAGGCGUACAACUUCAGAAACGUAGAGAUUAGCCAACUUUUCCAAUAAGUAAUUUGUGCGGACAAACAAGAUAUGGGCUAACUUAGUAAGUCGAUCUACAAUUACCUAGACUGAGUACUUCUUCGAAAGGAUGAGAGGGAGAGCCAAAACAAAAUCCAUGGUGAUCUUAUCCCACUUCCACAUAGAUAUCUCUAAAAGGUACAACUUGCCUAAGGGAACCUGAUGUUCUAUUUUAAUCUGCUGACAUGUCAAACAAAUGGAAAUGUACUUUGUUAUUUCUUUCUUCAUUUCAAGUCAGUAAUACAAACUUAUCAAAUUAUGAUACAUUUUAUGUAAAACUCUCAACCCAACUCGAAAUGUCGAGUCUGGAUCUCGGGUAUUACUAUACAUAAUACUUGGCAAAAUAUCAAAAUAGUUGACAAAUACUCUUUAUAGAAAACAUUUUCUUAUUAUUUUAACCAAAAGACUAAAUAUUUAAUAACAAGAGAAAAUAUUAAAAACAAAAAAAAAUUAUUACAUCAGACUUGGUACAACUCAUUAUAGUAUAAAAUUUUGUUAAAGACAUACUCUUGGGGCAUAACCCUAAUCUAAGCCACUUUUCCACUAUAUGCAUAAUAACCCACUUCGCCACUAUCUUGGCGUACUCCUAGCAUCGUCACUCCUAAUGCAUUCUCUACCCAUACACCUGAAAACAACAACAUUUUAAGCUUAAGAUAACUUAGUGACUUUUAUCCCAAAAAUACCUUGGCGAGUACUUUAUAUUAUUUGAAGAACAUUUGUGCGCCAUCUAUCCUUCUGAACCACCUUCUUCUGAAUUAAGUGGAUACUAUUAUAGAUUCAACUUUCACUUACACGCCAACUAUCAUACUCUUAACAAACUCACUUAUUCUAGAAUAGUUGUUCACAUAUAUUAAUCACUAAUUGAUACAUUCAUAUUUGGCGAAUACUUACGCAGAUCUGAAUACCAUCAAACUACUAAUCAAAUCAUACCUUGAUCCGAUACCAUACAAACUCAUACUGAUAAUGUACUACACAAAUUAUUCAAAUGAAUUUUCCACUACUUUGUUACAGGACCCCAGAUAAUCAUCAUAACAAUAACUCAAUUUUCAUAUGAUUUCAGAAGAAGAUAUAAUACAACCCAAAUACGGCAAAUUCCAGAUAACUCAGAUUCAACAACUGCUUAACACAUACGAACUCACAUUUAUAAUUUCUUAUGUCCCACAUAACUACGACUAUGUCUAUAUUCAACACUAACAAAUAAUCAUGACGGAUACCCUUCUUAUACAUAUAUGCAUUUCUUUUCUAGAAAUCUCUUAAGACUUACUCAAUUAUAUCACAUAUCUUAUUCAACCCUUAACUUUAGACAUAUCAUAACCCUAUCAUAUCAAUAUCUAUCACAAAAAAAAUCAGGAUUUAUCCAAAACUUACCAUAAAGGUAGAUAAUCAUAUUAUAUCAGACAAACUUAACUAAAUGUGCCACAAAGGCCAAACAAAAUAUGCCUUAAAGGCUUCAUACAAAAUCACGUGUUUACUAUCCCGACGGACUAUCACAAAAGGUGUCAUGGGUUUCUCCCACAUGGACUUAUACAUAAUUUCAUGUAUUGUGAUCUGCCAUUUUGAAUCAUACGUUAUCGAAGGAUACUCCAUAAGCAUACAUACAGACAUAUCUUGCCAUGUGUCUCAGCCACAUGGCUUAAACACACAUUCAUGUACUGUGAUAUGUCAAUCCAGUCUUACUCUUAUUAGAGCCUACACCAUGAGUGUUUUCAAAUCAUAUUAAGAUGUUGUAGGUCUCAACCUCAUAGUCUUACACUUGUUUUCAUAUCGUGACCUGCCAGUCUAGUUAGCAAUAUAAUUGCCUACCAGAGGCUUCAUAGAGGAACAUUUGCUUAGAUUCACUUACCUAGAUGAUCUGUAACACCCCUUACCCGAGACCGUUGUCAGAGUCGAGCACGAGGUAUUACUUAUCUUAUCUUACUAACUCGAAGCAUAAAAACUUGUUUUAAAAAUUAAUUUCACUAUUUAUAGCAAUUUGUCCAAUCGCGCAGCAGUUACUAAAUUAAUUAUAACUCGAGAUACGGAACUUGAAAUUUAACUCCGUAAAUUUUCCCUGAAACUAGACUCAUAUAUCUUCCUACCAUAAAAAUUUUAGGAUUUUUAGUUUAUCAAAUUAGUACAGUUUAUUAGUUAAAUUCUCCCCUGUUUCACAAAUCGACUGCCCUGACCUCUUAUCACUAAAAAUAAAAUGUAUCAUUGUGGGAUUUUCGUAUAGUGCUACCGCUUGCUUCUACAGAAAAUAGACUCAAUAAGGAAUCUAUACAUAUAAACUACAACUCAUAAAUAUUUUUUUAAAAUUUUUAAUGAUUUUAUAAACUCAAAACAGGGGUCACCAAAAACUGUUCUAACCCUGUCUCACCAAAAUUCACAUAUCUUAAAAUAUAAAUUCCUUUUGCUACACCGUUAUUUUUAUGUGAAAAUAGACUCAACAAGAUUUAUGUCAUUCAAUAUUUAAUUCAUUUUAUACUAUCCUAGGUGAUUUUUCAAAGUCACGUCACUGUUGCUGCCUGAAUUCUGUUUCUUUGCAAAAUUUUACCCUUUUAUGAUUUCCAUGCAUAGUUUAUCACUUAGACUCUUAUAACAACAAACACUUCCAUACUUAACCAUUUUAGCAACCAUUCAUCAUCAAAUACUUACACAUCAUUCUUUAGCAAGAUCAUAAAUACAAACAUUUAAAAUAACUAAAUCCCUUUACAUUCCAUACUCAACAUGGUUCAACAUAAAAAUACCGAGUUGCUGUGGUUGAUAGUGUGGACGAUCUCCGACUUCUUUAGGAUCCUUGAAGUAACCUUGCAAUACUAUAAGAGAAAGAGAAAUAAAAGACGUAAGCAUAAAGCUUAGUAAGUUUACUAGCAAAUAAAUAACAAUAUUUAACUAGAUAAUUAAACUCAAGUGUCUAUAUCUCUAGUUUACUAUUUAGUUAAUCUCAUUCUAGUUCUCUUGCUUGUUUACUUAGUAUACUUGUGUGCAUAACUUACUCCUCUCUUGCUGUAUAGUUGAAUAUCAAUUGAUAAUAUAAUAAGUUAUUAACUCUUAUAACUUACCUGAACUUGCCAUUUAUGUUUUUAACUGAACUUUCCUGAACAUGAUUCGUUAUUUAGCCCGUUGAGCUACAUUGGAACAAUAAGGAUACUCGGGUCUCUUCUGAUAAUAACAUGCCAAAGCCAUGUCCCAGACAUGGUCUUACAUGGGAUGUACUCAUGUCGGUGCCCAUUCCAUAUCCCAGACAUGGUCUUACGGGGGACCUCUCAUCUCGGUGCCAAUGCCAUGUCCCAGACAUGGUCUUACAUGGGACCUCUCAUCUCGGUGCCAACGCCAUGUCCCAGACAUGGUCUUACAUGGGACCUCUCAUCUCGGUGCCAACGCCAUGUCCCAGACAUGGUCUUACAUGGGACCUCUUUACCCAAAUGUCAUGACAUUCGUAUCCAGUACCAUCCUUACUAUUCAUGACAACCGAUAUAUAUAUAUACAUACUCACUAUUCACAAGGACUCGAACGAUUAUAUACUCAUCAACCACCUUAAAACAAUGUUCAUAAACUUAUCCAUUUCAUAUAAACAAAAGCAUAUAUAUUUAUAACCAAUGCAUAGAAUCACUUAAUUUAAACAGAUUCACUGGCACUUCACCUGAUAGGCUUAUAGUUUAAUUCAGUUCACCGGCACUUAGCCUACUAGGCUUGUAGCCUGAUUCAGUUCACCGGCACUUAGCCUGCUAGACGUAUAGUCCGAUUCAAUUCACCGGCAUUUAGCCUGCUAGACGUAUAGUCUGAUUCAAUUUACCGGCACUUAGCCUGCUAGACGUAUAGUCUGAAUAAUUUUACUGGUAAUAAAUCCGAUAGUAAUUUCUCCGUUGAAAUUGAAUUAUAUUCAAUUCUGCGUAACAAACAUGCACUUAAAACAUACUUGCAUAAUUCACAACAAUAAUUUCAGUCCAAAGAGCUGUAAUUCAUAUUCGAACUAUAUAUAUAUAAAUCCAUACAUAAAAAUUCAACUCAAAAUUUAUAACCUAUAUCUUUGAACCACAUAGGUACAUGAAAUUCAAACACCAAAAUCCAGCUCAAUAACUUCAUGAUUCAACCUAACAAAUUUAUGUAUAUAACUUUUUAUCUAAUUUCAAUACAAUAACUUAUACAUGUACGUAUAUACAUAUUCGAAUCUAACAUAUACAUAUAUAAUUUCAUACUUAAAUAUAUUCAAGACUUAUUCAUGAGUAUACAUAUAUAUUACAACUCACAUGUACAUAUAUAUACACAUUCAUACCUUUAACCAAGUCCAAGGCUUUAUACAUGUAUAUGCUUAUAUAUAUAUAUUCGGACCUUAUGUUUACAUAUAUAUAUUAUAUAAAUACCUUUGAUUAAAAACAAGUAUUUAUACAUAUAUAUAUUUUCGAACAUGAUACAUAUAUAUUUAUAUCAUUCAUACUUAAACAAAAUUCAAUCCAUAUACUUUCAAUUUCAGCUCACCAAAUUACUAUAGAUAUACAUGCAUAUAUACUGAUUUAAUAACCUCAAAUUGCUAAUAGACUUACCUCGGAUAUCAGCGGACACGAUCGAGUAUUCGAUUACUUUCGUUUUUCCCCGAUCCAAAUUCGUUUUCUUCGUUUUUUAUCUUAAUUAGACCUAGAGAUAGCCGAACCUUGUUGUUCUCUUUUCUUUUCUUUUCUUUUUCUUUUCUAUAUUCGGCCAAGAUGAAGAACAUGGCAUUUAAAAUUUGUUAUAUUAAACAUAUAUUAGCCUUAUUUUUAAUUUACUAUAUUAACCUUUACAUAUAUAUAACAUAUAUAAUAAGGUUACAUUAGUCCUUUGCCACCCACUAACUUACAUAGUGGACUAAUUGCAUAGUAAAACCUCUAAAUUAUAAAGACAACAAGAAUUAGGUCCUUUUAUAAUUAACCCCUAAAUUUUCAUUUUACGCGAUUAAGCCCUUUUAUUAAAUCGGACACUUAAACGACGAAAUUAAAACACGAAAAUUUCACACAAUCAAAUGCAUACAAAACAAUAUUAAUAAUAUUUUUCUAAUUCAAAUUUGUGGUCCCGAAACCAGUAUUCUGAUUAGGGUCAAAAACCGGGUUGUUACAACUCUCCCCCCUUAGGGAUUUUCGUCCCCGAAAAUCUUACCGGUGAAUAGGUUUGGAUAACGCUCUUUCAUUGUAUCUUCUAACUCCCAAGUUGCUUCUUCAACCCCAUGUUUAUGCCACAACACUUUAACUAACGGAAUUUUCUUAUUUCGUAAUUCUUUGAUCUCACGAGCCAGAAUGCUAAUCGGUUCUUCCUCAUAUGUCAUAUCAGAGUUAAUUUCAAUCUCCGUCGGACUAAUCACAUGUGAAGGAUCAGAUCGGUAUCUACGAAGCAUCGAAACAUGGAAUACGUUAUGAAUCUUUUCUAACUCAGGCAGUAACAUCAAUCUAUAAGCAACCAAUCCAACUCGCUCUAUAAUCUCAUACGGUCCAAUGAAUCUCGGACACAAUUUGCCUUUACGACCAAAUCUGAGUAUUUUCUUCCACGGUGAGACUUUUAAAAACACUUUAUCCCCGAUCUGAAAUUCUAUAUCCUUUCUUUUCAAAUUCGCAUAAGAUUUCUGACGAUCCGAUGCUGAUUUCAGACUGUCCCGAAUCACUUUCACUUUCUGUUCGGUCUCUUUAAUCAAAUCAACCCCGUGUAUCUUAUUUUCACUGAGCUCGGUCCAAUACAGUGGUGUACGACAUUUACAACCGUACAAAGCCUCAUAAGGUGCCAUUUUGAUACUAGAUUGAAAGCUAUUAUUAUAAGCAAAUUCAAUCAAAGGUAAGUAUCGUUCCCACGUACCUUCAAACUCGAGAAUGCAACAUCUCAACAUAUCCUCAAGUAUCUGAAUGAUUCAUUCAGAUUGACCAUCUGUCUGCGGAUCGAAAGCUGUGCUAAAAUGUAGUUUCGUACCUAAAGCAUCUUGUAGUUUCUUCCAAAAUCGCGAUGUGAAUCUCAGAUCUCUGUCUGAAACAAUAGAAAUAGGUACACCAUGCAACCUCACAAUUUGUGAAAUAUACAAUUCCGCAAGUUUAUCGAGCGAAAAAUCUGUACGAAUCGAAAUAAAAUGUGUCGAUUUUGUCAACCUAUCAACAAUAACCCAGAUUGCAUCUAUCUUGCUCGGUGUCAACGGUAAAUCGGAUACAAAAUCCAUCGUGACUCGAUCCCAUUUCCAUUGAGGUAUCAUGAUCGGCUGAAGCAACCCAGAUGGUACCUGAUGCUUGGCUUUAACUUGCUGACAAAUUAAACAUUUCGAAACAAAGUCAGAAAUGUCUCGUUUCAUACCUUGCCACCAAUAGUGCUGUUUCAGAUCGUUAUACAUUUUCGUGCUACCCGGAUGAACAGAAAAUCGACUACUAUGAGCUUCCUUCAAAAUCAUCUAAAUUAACUCUGAUUUUUUCGGAACACAUAAUCGGUUUCUAAAUCUCAAACAAUCCUCAGCAUCAACUAAAAACUCCGAAUCAAUAUUUAAGUCACAUUGAGCUCGUUUUGCAGUUAAAUCAUUAUCGACCUUUUGAGCUUCACAAAUCUGUUGUACAAAUAACGGUUUUGCUUUCAACUCAGCUACUAUCGCACCAUCAUCAGACAUAACCAUAUGUGCGUUCAUUGCACGCAAAGCAAACAGUGAUUUUCGACUUAGGGCAUCAGCAACAACAUUAGCCUUUCCCGGAUGAUAGUCAAUCACAAGCUCGUAUUCUUUCAGCAAUUCUAACCAUCGACGCUGUCUCAAAUUCAGAUAUUUCUGAGUCAUCAAAUAUUUCAGGCUUUUGGGAUCGGAAUAAACAUGACAUCUUUCACCAAACAGAUAGUGACGCCAUAUUUUUAACGCAAAUACAAUAGCGGCCAAUUCCAGAUCAUGUGUCGGAUAGUUUUUUUCAUGCGGCUUUAACUGUCUCAAGGCAUAGGCUACAACUUUGCCUUCCUACAUCAAAACACAACCCAAACCAUUUAAAGAUGCAUCACUAUAGAUAACAAACUCUUUACCCGAUUCGGGUUGAACUAAGACUGGAGCUUCGGUCAAAAGAACUUUCAACUGAUCAAAGUUUUUCUGACACUUUUCUGACCACUCGAACUUAACGUCUUUUUGUAGUAGCUUUGUCAUCGGGGUCGCAAUCAUAGAAAACCCUUUCACGAACCGUCUAUAAUAACCAGCGAGCCCCAGAAAGCUUCGAACAUCAGAGACAUUUCUCGGAGGUUUCCAAUCAAGUAUAGCUGAAAUUUUACCUGGAUCAACUCGAAUACCCGAUGCUGACACAACAUGGCCCAGAAAACUAACUUCACGUAACCAGAACUCGCAUUUACUGAACUUUGCAUACAACUGUUUAUCUCGCAAAGUUUGUAACACAAGUCUCAGAUGUUCAGUAUGCUCGGUUUCAUCACGAGAGUAGAUCAAAAUAUCAUCUAUAAAUACUACCACAAAUCGAUCCAGAUACUGUCUAAAAAUCUGAUUCAUCAAAUCCAUGAAAACAGCAGGUGCAUUAGUAAGUCCAAAAGGCAUAACCAAGAACUCAUAAUGUCCGUACCUCGUUCGGAAAGCUGUCUUUGGCACAUCAGAGUCUUUAACUCGCAACUGAUAGUAGCCUGAUCUCAGAUCUAUCUUCGAAAACACAGUAGCCCCUUUCAACUGAUCGAACAAAUCAUCAAUCCGUGGUAACGGAUACUUAUUCUUUAUAGUCACCUUAUUGAGUUGCCGGUAAUCAAUGCACAUUCUCAUUGUUCUGUCUUUCUUUUUCACAAAUAGAACUGGUGCACCCCAAGGAGAGAAACUCGGUCGUGUAAAACCUUUAUCAGUCAACUCUUGCAACUGUACUUUCAAUUCUUUUAAUUCGGUCGGUACCAUACGGUACGGAGCUAUCGAAAUUGGAGUUGUCCCUGGUACUAACUCAAUACCAAACUCUACCUCUCGAAUAGGUGGCAAACCCGGUAAUUCUUCGGGAAACACGUCUGAAUACUUACACACUACUGGCACAGAUUCAAUCUUCUUUUCGGUCACUUUACUAUCAAGAAAAAAUGCAAGGUAAUCUUCACAACCUUUUCUCACAUACUUCUGAGCCGACAUCGAGGAUAUUAUUGCUGGUAAACCAUUCAGAUCAUUAGAUUCAAUCCGAAUAAUCUCAUCAUUCUGACACCGUAGAUCAAUAGUUUUCCGUUUGCAGUUUACUAUAGCAUUAUGCAGAGUUAACCAAUCCAUACCCAGAAUUAUAUCAAACUCGUCAAAUGGUAGCAACAUCAAAUCAGCCAGAAAACAUAAAUCUCGAAUCAUCAACGGACAAUUCUUGCACACUUUGUCAACCAAAACACACCGGCCCAAGAGGUUCAAUACUUUAAUUACAAACUCAGUAGACUCAACAGGCAAAGUCUUACUGAAUACUAAAGUCUCACACACAUAAGAAUGAGUCGAACCAAGAUCAAUCAAUGCAAUAACAUUAGUAUCAUAAAGAGUGAAAGUACCAGUAAUAACAUCUGGAGAAGAAGCCUCCUCCCGAGCACGGAUGGCAUAUGCUCUGGCAAGUGCACGAGCCUCAGAUCGAACUGCCAUGUCCUUUGUUCCUCUCUGACUGCCACUUACAUUACUCAAUUGCCUCGGCGGUCUACCUCGUACAGGUACUUUACUCGGUCUGGUAUUCUACACAGUGUUUUGCUCAGCUACCAUCGGACACUCUCGAAUGAAAUGAUCCUUUGAACCGCACUUAAAGCAAGACCGAUCAUGUAAUCUGCAAUCUCCAGGAUGCCAUUUCCCACAAUGCUUGUACUCUGAUCUAUUUUGUCGAACACUACCAACGCUAGCAACUGAAGUAGCUCGUGAACUCACAGGGGGUCGAUCUCGAUCAUACUUAGGAAACCCUGCAGUAGCUUUAGAUCGGCUAUGAUCCUCUCUGGAUUUCAUUGAGGUCGACUGGAAUGAUUUACUGAAUGAUCUUUUACGAGAAUCUCGAGCUUCAUAGCCAGCUUUCCUCUUCUCUUUACUGAGCUCCUUAACUUUACAAGGUCGUUCAACAAGUACUACGAACUCUUUUAUCUCAAGUAUACCAAAUAACAGUUUAAUAUCUUCAUCCAGCCCAUCUUCAAAUCUUUUACACAUGAUAGCUUCAGUCGAAAUACAUUCUCGAGCAUAUCUACUGAGUCUCACAAAUUUCCGCUCAUAUUCUAUCACUGUCAUACGACCCUGUUUCAAUUCAAGAAAUUCCUUAUGCUUCUGAUCAAUGAAUCUUUGGCUGAUGUAUUUCUUACAGAACUCAAUCUGAAAGAAUUCCCAGGUCACUCGCUCUUUCGGAACCACCGAUACUAGUGUAUUCCACCAGUGAUAUGCAGUGUCCCGUAGCAAAGAUAUGGCACAUUUCAAGUACUCAUCAGGGGUGCAAGAUAACUCAUCAAACACUCGAAUAGUAUUAUCAAGCCAGAAUUCAGCUUGCUCAGCAUCAUCAUCAUCAGUAGCUCUGAACUCUUCGACCCCGUGUUUUCAAAUUUAGUCAACAGGAGGCUUAAGUAAUCUCAUCGGAUCACUUACUUGAGGUAUAAUAGGAAUCGAAGGUGGAUUAGUCGGGGGUGGAGUUUGUUGUGCAACCGGAUUAGUUCGGACAUAUUGAGUAAACCAGUCAUUCAUCAUUUGGUAGAAGGCUUGUUUAGCCUCUCCCUCCUGGUUACUCGAGGUCGGUCGAGAAUCUACCAGCUCUGUCCCUUGUGUGGGAGCAGGCGCUAUACUCUCAACAUCAUCGACUACGGCUGGAUCGGGAUCCAUUACUAUACGAAAACACAUUUUUAGACAUCAGCAGUCAUCGCACUAUCUUGGUAUAAAAAUAUGGCAUGUAUAGCUAGACUCAUACAUGCUACAUUAGUCCAAGAAUCGAUUAAACCGUAGCUCUGAUACCAAUAAAAUGUAACACCCCUAACCCGUAUCCGUCGCCGAAUUAGGGUUACGAGGCAUUACUGAACAAAUACAACCAUUUUUAAAACCAACUGAUCACAAACAUGAAAAUUAAAUCAUUUUCACAUAGCUAUUUAUAAUUUACAAUCAACAUCUAACCAACAUCGUACUCAAACCUAUACAUGCCAUAAGAUCAAGUUCAAAUAUUUAACAAAAUACCAAAAGGGGUCGAAAGUGUGAUAGACUAUGCUGAUGAUCCCCGAGCUCGUAACGCAUCUCCAAAAUCUAUAAAAACAAAUGGACAAAAACAAUCAAAGUAAGCUUUUAUAGCUUAGUAAGUCUAUAGCAUAUCUAAAAUACAUAUAAAAGAAUCAUAUAAUUCUUAAAAUAAAUUUAUUGAAAUCACAAUUAUCAAUUAUAAUUACUAAUCGAACAUUGCUAUAUUAAGUCAUCUUGUUUAAAUCUAAAAGGAUGUGUAUUUAUCUAAUACACAUGAACGGACAAAUGUAUAUACAUUAUAUGCAUAUAAUCAAUUUACUAACAUAAUCAUUAAUUGCAUAUACGGAUUUCUAUAGUACUUAUUGUUCGCACUUAAUCGGAUCCAUUUAAAUAUAAUUGUUCAAAUACAUAUACCAAAAGCAUAAUAAUUUUAUACUUGAUCAACUAUAAGUGCCGAAUGCACAUAUACACCUAUACCCACCUAUGCCGAAUGCAUACAUAUAUACACAUAUAUAUAUAUCCAACAAUUUCGUGACAACCGAUAUAUAUAUACAUACUCACUAUUCACAAGGACUCGAACGAUUAUAUACUCAUCAACCACCUUAAAACAAUGUUCAUAAACUUAUCCAUUUCAUAUAAACAAAAGCAUAUAUAUUUAUACCCAAUGCAUAGAAUCACUUAAUUUAAACAGAUUCACUAGCACUUCACCUGAUAGGCUUAUAGUUUAAUUCAGUUCACCGGUACUUAGCCUACUAGGCUUGUAGCCUGAUUCAGUUCACCGGCACUUAGCCUGCUAGACGUAUAGUCCGAUUCAAUUCACCGGCAUUUAGCCUGCUAGACGUAUAGUCCGAUUCAAUUUAUCGGCACUUAGCCUGCUAGAUGUAUAGUCUGAAUAAUUUUACUGGUAAUAAAUCCGAUAGUCAUUUCUCCGUUGAAAUUGAAUUAUAUUCAAUUCUGCGUAACAAACAUGCACUUAAAACAUACUUGCAUAAUUCACAACAAUAAUUUCAGUCCAAAGAGCUGUAAUUCAUAUUCGAACUAUAUAUAUAAAUCCAUACAUAAAAAUUCAGCUCAAAAUUUAUAACCUAUAUCUUUGAACCACAUAGGUACAUGAAAUUCAAACAACAAAAUCCAGCUCAAUAACUUCAUGAUUCAACCUAACAAAUUUAUGUAUAUAACUUUUUAUCUAAUUUCAAUACAAUAACUUAUACAUGUACGUAUAUACAUAUUCGAAUCUAACAUAUACAUAUAUAAUUUCAUACUUAAAUAUAUUCAAGACUUAUUCAUGAGUAUACAUAUAUAUUACAACUCACAUGUACAUAUAUAUACACAUUCAUACCUUUAACCAAGUCCAAGGCUUUAUACAUGUAUAUGCUUAUAUAUAUAUAUAUUCGGACCUUAUGUUUACAUAUAUAUUAUAUAUAAAUACCUUUGAUUAAAAACAAGUAUUUAUACAUAUAUAUAUUUUUGAACAUGAUACAUAUAUAUAUUUAUAUCAUUCAUACUUAAACAAAAUUCAAUCCAUAUACUUUCAAUUUCAGCUCACCAAAUUACUAUAGAUAUACAUGCAUAUAUACUGAUUUAAUAACCUCAAAUUGCUAAUAGACUUACCUCGGAUAUCAGCGGACACGAUCGACUAUUCGAUUACUUUCGUUUUUCCCCGAUCCAAAUUCGUUUUCUUCGUUUUUUUAUCUUAAUUAGACCUAGAGAUAGCCGAACCUUGUUGUUCUCUUUUCUUUUCUUUUCUUUUUCUUUUCUAUAUUCGGCCAAGAUGAAGAACAUGGCAUUUAAAAUUUGUUAUAUUAAACAUAUAUUAGCCUUAUUUUUAAUUUACUAUAUUAACCUUUACAUAUAUAUAUAACAUAUAUAAUAAGGUUACAUUAGUCCUUUGCCACCCACUAACUUACAUAGUGGACUAAUUGCAUAGUAAAACCUCUAAAUUAUAAAGACAACAACAAUUAGGUGCUUUUAUAAUUAACCCCUAAAUUUUCAUUUUACGCGAUUAAGCCCUUUUAUUAAAUCGGACACUUAAACGACGAAAUUAAAACACGAAAAUUUCACACAAUCAAAUGCAUACAAAAUAAUAUUAAUAAUAUUUUUCUAAUUCAAAUUUGUGGUCCCGAAACCAGUAUUCUGAUUAGGGUCAAAAACCGGGUUGUUACAACUCUCCCCCCUUAGAGAUUUUCGUCCCCGAAAAUCUUACCGGUGAAUAGGUUUGGAUAACGCUCUUUCAUUGUAUCUUCUGACUCCCAAGUUGCUUCUUCAACCCCAUGUUUAUGCCACAACACUUUAACUAACGGAAUUUUCUUAUUUCGUAAUUCUUUGAUCUCACGAGCAAGAAUGCUAAUCGGUUCUUCCUCAUAUGUCAUAUCAGAGUUAAUUUCAAUCUCCGUCGGACUAAUCACAUGUGAAGGAUCAGAUCGGUAUCUACGGAGCAUCGAAACAUGGAAUACGUUAUGAAUCUUUUCUAACUCAGGCAGUAACAUCAAUCUAUAAGCAACCAAUCCAACUCGCUCUAUAAUCUCAUACGGUCCAAUUAAUCUCGGACACAAUUUGCCUUUACGACCAAAUCUGAGUAUUUUCUUCCACGGUGAGACUUUUAACUUGCUCGGUGUCAACGGUAAAUCGGAUACAAAAUCCAUCGUGACUCGAUCCCAUUUCCAUUGAGGUAUCAUGAUCGGCUGAAGCAAUCCAGAUGGUACCUGAUGCUCGGCUUUAACUUGCUGACAAAUUAAACAUUUCGAAACAAAGUCAGAAAUGUCUCGUUUCAUACCUUGCCACCAAUAGUGCUGUUUUAGAUCGUUAUACAUUUUCGUGCUACCCGGAUGAACAGAAAAUCGAAUACUAUGAGCUUCCUUCAAAAUCAUCUGAAUUAACUCUGAAUUUUUCGGAACACAUAAUCGGUUUCUAAAUCUCAAACAAUCCUCAGCAUCAACUAAAAACUCCGAAUCAAUAUUUAAGUCACAUUGAGCUCGUUUUGCAGUUAAAUCAUUAUCAACCUUUUGAGCUUCACAAAUCUGUUGUACAAAUAACAGUUUUGCUUUCAACUCAGCUACUAUCGCACCAUCAUCAGACAUAACCAUAUGUGCGUUCAUUGCACGCAAAGCAAACAGUGAUUUUCGACUUAGGGCAUCAGCAACAACAUUAGCCUUUCCCGGAUGAUAGUCAAUCACAAGCUCGUAAUCUUUCAGCAAUUCUAACCAUCGACGCUGUCUCAAAUUCAGAUAUUUCUGAGUCAUCAAAUAUUUCAGGCUUUUGGGAUCGGAAUAAACAUGACAUCUUUCGCCAAACAGAUAGUGACGCCAUAUUUUUAACGCAAAUACAAUAGCGGCCAAUUCCAGAUCAUGCGUCGGAUAGUUUUUUUCAUGCGGCUUUAACUGUCUCAAGGCAUAGGCUACAACUUUGCCUUCCUACAUCAAAACACAACCCAAACCAUUUAAAGAUGCAUCACUAUAGAUAACAAACUCUUUACCCGAUUCGGGUUGAACUAGGACUGGAGCUUCGGUCAAAAGAACUUUCAACUGAUCAAAGUUUUUCUGACACUUUUCUGACCACUCGAACUUAACGUCUUUUUGUAGUAGCUUUGUCAUCGGGGUCGCAAUCAUAGAAAACCCUUUCACGAACCGUCUAUAAUAACCAGCGAGCCCCAGAAAGCUUCGAACAUCAGAGACAUUUCUCGGAGGUUUCCAAUCAAGUAUAGCUGAAAUUUUACUUGGAUCAACCUGAAUACCCGAUGCUGACACAACAUGGCCCAGAAAACUAACUUCACGUAACCAGAACUCGAAUUUACUGAACUUUGCAUACAACUGUUUAUCUCGCAAAGUUUGUAACACAAGUCUCAGAUGUUCAGUAUGCUCGGUUUCAUCACGAGAGUAGAUCAAAAUAUCAUCUAUAAAUACUACCACAAACAGAUCCAGAUACUGUCUAAAAAUCUGAUUCAUCAAAUCCAUGAAAACAGCAGGUGCAUUAGUAAGUCCAAAAGGCAUAACCAAGAACUCAUAAUGUCCGUACCUCGUUCGGAAAGCAGUCUUUGGCACAUCAGAGUCUUUAACUCGCAACUGAUAGUAGCCUGAUCUCAGAUCUAUCUUCGAAAACACAGUAGCCCCUUUCAACUGAUCGAACAAAUCAUCAAUCCGUGGUAACGGAUACUUAUUCUUUAUAGUCACCUUAUUGAGUUGCCGGUAAUCAAUGCACAUUCUCAUUGUUCCGUCUUUCUUUUUCACAAAUAGAACUGGUGCACCCCAAGGAGAGAAACUCGGUCGUGCAAAACCUUUAUCAGUCAACUCUUGCAACUGUACUUUCAAUUCUUUUAAUUCAGUCGGUGCCAUACGGUACGGAGCUAUCGAAAUUGGAGUUGUCCCUGGUACUAACUCAAUACCAAACUCUACCUCUCGAAUAGGUGGCAAACCCGGUAAUUCUUCGGGAAACACGUCUGAAUACUUACACACUACUGGCACAGAUUCAAUCUUCUUUUCGAUCACUUUACUAUCAAGAAAAAAUGCAAGGUAAUCUUCACAACCUUUUCUCACAUACUUUUUUGCCGACAUCGAGGAUAUUAUUGCUGGUAAACCAUUCAGAUCAUUAGAUUCAAUCCGAAUAAUCUCAUCAUUCUGACACCGUAGAUCAAUAGUUUUCCGUUUGCAGUUUACUAUAGCAUCAUGCAGAGUUAACCAAUCCAUACCCAGAAUUAUAUCAAACUCGUCAAAUGGUAGCAACAUCAAAUCAGCCAGAAAACAUAAAUCUCGAAUCAUCAACGGACAAUUCUUGCAUAUUUUGUCAACCAAAACACACCGGCCCAGGGGGUUCAAUACUUUAAUUACAAACUCAGUAGACUCAACAGGCAAAGUCUUACUGAAUACUAAAGUCUCACACACAUAAGAAUGAGUCGAACCAAGAUCAAUCAAUGCAAUAACAUUAGUAUCAUAAAGAGGGAAAGUACCAGUAAUAACAUCUGGAGAAGAAGCCUCCUCUUGAGCACGGAUGGCAUAUGCUCUGGCAAGUGCACGAGCCUCAGAUCGAACUGCCAUGUCCUUUGUUCCUCUCUGACUGCCACUUACAUUACUCAAUUGCCUCGGUGGUCUACCUCGUACUGGCACUUUACUCGGUCUGGUAUUCUGCACAGUGUUUUGCUCAGCUACCAUCGGACACUCUCGAAUGAAAUGAUCCUUUGAACCGCACUUAAAGCAAGACCGAUCAUGUAAUCUGCAAUCUCCAGGAUGCCAUUUCCCACAAUACUUGUACUCUGAUCUAUUUUGUCGAACACUACCAACGCUAGCAACUGAAGUAGCUCGUGAACUCACAGGGGGUCGAUCUCGAUCAUACUUAGGAAACCCUGCAGUAGCUUUAGAUCGGCUAUGAUCCUCUCUGGAUUUCAUUGAGGUCGACUGGAAUGAUUUACUGAAUAAUCUUUUACGAGAAUCUCGAGCUUCAUAGCCAGCUUUCCUCUUCUCUUUCCCGAGCUCCUCAACUUUACAAGGUCGUUCAACAAGUACUACGAACUCUUUUAUCUCAAGUAUACCAAAUAACAGUUUAAUAUCUUCAUCCAGCCCAUCUUCAAAUCUUUUACACAUGAUAGCUUCAGUCGAAAUACAUUCUCGAGCAUAUCUACUGAGUCUCACAAAUUUCCGCUCAUAUUCUAUCACUGUCAUACGACCCUGUUUCAAUUUAAGAAAUUACUUACGCUUCUGAUCAAUGAAUCUUUGGCUGAUGUAUUUCUUACAGAACUCAAUCUGAAAGAAUUCCCAGGUCACUCGCUCUUUCGGAACCACCGAUACUAGUGUAUUCCACCAGUGAUAUGCAGUGUCCCGUGGCAAAGAUAUGGCACAUUUCAAGUACUCAUCAGGGGUGCAAGAUAACUCAUCAAACACUCGAAUAGUAUUAUCAAGCCAGAAUUCAUCUCGCUCAGCAUCAUCAUCAUCAGUAGCUCUGAACUCUUCGACCCCGUGUUUUUGAAUUUUGUCAAUAGGAGGCUUAAGUAAUCUCAUCGGAUCACUUACUUGAGGUAUAACAGGAAUCGAAGGUGGAUUAGUCGGGGGUGGAGUUUGUUGUGCAACCGGAUUAGUUCGGACAUAUUGAGUAAACCAGUCAUUCAUCAUUUGGUAGAAGGCUUGUUUAGCCUCUCCCUCCUGGUUACUCGAGGUCGGUCGAGAAUCUACCGGCUCUGUCCCUUGUGUGGGAGCAGGCGCUAUACCCUCAACAUCAUCGACUACGGCUCGAUCGGGAUCCAUUACUAUACGAAAACACAUUUUUAGACAUCAGCAGUCAUCACACUAUCUUGGUAUAAAAAUAUGGCAUGUAUAGCUAGACUCAUACAUGCUACAUUAGUCCAAGAAUCGAUUAAACCGUAGCUCUGAUACCAAUAAAAUGUAACACCCCUAACCCGUAUCCGUCGCCGAAUUAGGGUUACGAGGCAUUACUGAACAAAUACAACCAUUUUUAAAACCAACUGAUCACAAACAUGAAAAUUAAAUCAUUUUCACAUAGCUAUUUAUAAUUUACAAUCAACAUCUAACCAACAUCGUACUCAAACCUAUACAUGCCAUAAGAUCAAGUUCAAAUAUUUAACAAAAUACCAAAAGGGGUCAAAAGUGUGAUAGACUAUGCUGAUGAUCCCCGAGCUCGUAACGCGUCUCCAAAAUCUAUAAAAACAAAUGGACAAAAACAAUCAAAGUAAGCUUUUAUAGCUUAGUAAGUCUAUAGCAUAUCUAAAAUACAUAUAAAAGAAUCAUAUAAUUCUUAAAAUAAAUUUAUUGAAAUCACAAUUAUCAAUUAUAAUUACUAAUCGAACAUUGCUAUAUUAAGUCAUCUUGUUUAAAUCUAAAAGGAUGUGUAUUUAUCUAAUACACAUGAACGGACAAAUGUAUAUACAUUAUAUGCAUAUAAUCAAUUUACUAACAUAAUCAUUAAUUGCAUAUACGGAUUUCUAUAGUACUUAUUGUUCGCACUUCAUCGGAUCCAUUUAAAUAUAAUUGUUCAAAUACAUAUACCAAAAGCAUAAUAAUUUUAUACUUGAUCAACUAUAAGUGCCGAAUGCACAUAUACACCUAUACCCACCUAUGCCGAAUGCAUACAUAUAUACACAUAUAUAUAUAUCCAACAAUUUCAUGACAACCGAUAUAUAUAUACAUACUCACUAUUCACAAGGACUCGAACGAUUAUAUACUCAUCAACCACCUUAAAACAAUGUUCAUAAACUUAUCCAUUUCAUAUAAACAAAAGCAUAUAUAUUUAUACCCAAUGCAUAGAAUCACUUAAUUUAAACAGAUUCACUGGCACUUCACCUGAUAGGCUUAUAGUUUAAUUCAGUUCACCGGCACUUAGCCUACUAGGCUUGUAGCCUGAUUCAGUUCACCGGCACUUAGCCUGCUAGACGUAUAGUCCGAUUCAAUUCACCGGCAUUUAGCCUGCUAGACGUAUAGUCCGAUUCAAUUUACCGGCACUUAGCCUGCUAGAUGUAUAGUCUGAAUAAUUUUACUGGUAAUAAAUCCGAUAGUCAUUUCUCCGUUGAAAUUGAAUUAUAUUCAAUUCUGCGUAACAAACAUGCACUUAAAACAUACUUGCAUAAUUCACAACAAUAAUUUCAGUCCAAAGAGCUGUAAUUCAUAUUCGAACUAUAUAUAUAUAAAUCCAUACAUAAAAAUUCAGCUCAAAAUUUAUAACCUAUAUCUUUGAACCACAUAGGUACAUGAAAUUCAAACAACAAAAUCCAGCUCAAUAACUUCAUGAUUCAACCUAACAAAUUUAUGUAUAUAACUUUUUAUCUAAUUUCAAUACAAUAACUUAUACAUGUACGUAUAUACAUAUUUGAAUCUAACAUAUACAUAUAUAAUUUCAUACUUAAAUAUAUUCAAGACUUAUUCAUGAGUAUACAUAUAUAUUACAACUCACAUGUACAUAUAUAUACACAUUCAUACCUUUAACCAAGUCCAAGGCUUUAUACAUGUAUAUGCUUAUAUAUAUAUAUAUUCGGACCUUAUGUUUACAUAUAUAUUAUAUAUAAAUACCUUUGAUUAAAAACAAGUAUUUAUACAUAUAUAUAUUUUCGAACAUGAUACAUACAUAUAUUUAUAUCAUUCAUACUUAAACAAAAUUCAAUCCAUAUACUUUCAAUUUCAGCUCACCAAAUUACUAUAGAUAUACAUGCAUAUAUACUGAUUUAAUAACCUCAAAUUGCUAAUAGACUUACCUCGGAUAUCAGCGGACACGAUCGACUAUUCGAUUACUUUCGUUUUUCCCCGAUCCAAAUUCGUUUUCUUCGUUUUUUUAUCUUAAUUAGACCUAGAGAUAGCCGAACCUUGUUGUUCUCUUUUCUUUUCUUUUCUUUUUCUUUUCUAUAUUCGGCCAAGAUGAAGAACAUGGCAUUUAAAAUUUGUUAUAUUAAACAUAUAUUAGCCUUAUUUUUAAUUUACUAUAUUAACCUUUACAUAUAUAUAACAUAUAUAAUAAGGUUACAUUAGUCCUUUGCCACCCACUAACUUACAUAGUGGACUAAUUGCAUAGUAAAACCUCUAAAUUAUAAAGACAACAACAAUUAGGUGCUUUUAUAAUUAACCCCUAAAUUUUCAUUUUACGCGAUUAAGCCCUUUUAUUAAAUCGGACACUUAAACAACGAAAUUAAAACACGAAAAUUUCACACAAUCAAAUGCAUACAAAAUAAUAUUAAUAAUAUUUUUCUAAUUCAAAUUUGUGGUCCCGAAACCAGUAUUCUGAUUAGGGUCAAAAACUGGGUUGUUACAACUCUCCCCCCUUAGGGAUUUUCGUCCCCGAAAAUCUUACCGGUGAAUAGGUUUGGAUAACGCUCUUUCAUUGUAUCUUCUGACUCCCAAGUUGCUUCUUCAACCCCAUGUUUAUGCCACAACACUUUAACUAACGGAAUUUUCUUAUUUCGUAAUUCUUUGAUCUCACGAGCCAGAAUGCUAAUCGGUUCUUCCUCAUAUGUCAUAUCAGAGUUAAUUUCAAUCUCCGUCGGACUAAUCACAUGUGAAGGAUCAGAUCGGUAUCCACAGAGCAUUGAAACAUGGAAUACGUUAUGAAUCUUUUCUAACUCAGGCAGUAACAUCAAUCUAUAACCAACCGAUCCAACUCGCUCUAUAAUCUCAUACGGUCCAAUGAAUCUCGGACUCAAUUUGCCUUUACGACCAAAUCUGAGUAUUUUCUUCCACGGUGAGACUUUUAAAAACACUUUAUCCCCGAUCUGAAAUUCUAUAUCCUUUCUUUUCAAAUCCGCAUAAGAUUUCUGACGAUCCGGUGCUGAUUUCAGACUGUCCCGAAUCACUUUCACUUUCUGUUCGGUCUCUUUAAUCAAAUCAACCCCGUGUAUCUUAUUUUCACUGAGCUCAGUCCAAUACAGUGGUGUACGACAUUUACGACCGUACAAAGCCUCAUAAGGUGCCAUUUUGAUACUAGAUUGAAAGCUAUUAUUAUAAGCAAAUUCAAUCAAAGGUAAGUAUCGUUCCCACGUACCUUCAAACUCGAGAAUGCAACAUCUCAACAUAUCCUCAAGUAUCUGAAUGAUUCGUUCAGAUUGACCAUCUGUCUGCGGAUGGAAAGCUGUGCUAAAAUGUAGUUUCGUACCUAAAGCUGUGCUAAAAUGCACACAAAAUAAACACACAAAAUAAUAUUAAUAAUAUUUUUCUAAUUCGGAUUUGUGGUCCCGAAACCACUAUUCCGAUUAGGGUCAAAAACCGGGUUGUUACAAUUCUGCUUCUUCUGCAUCAUCAUCUUUGGUAGCUCGAAAUUCUUCAGCCCCUUACUUCCUAAUCUUAUCAACAGGUGGUCUCUCACUGAUGACUAUACCUGCAGCUAGGGAAACUACAUGAGGAACCUGUGAAUCCUGAAGGGGUGGAGGUCUUACACCCGGAUUCAUACGAACGAACUCGGCAAACCAAUCAUUCAUGGCUUGGAAGAAGGCUUCUCUAGCUCCUCCUCCCUGUCUAACUGAUGCAGGUCUUUCACUAACGUUAACAUCUAGUGGCACCGUCCUUUCUGCGGAAGUAGGCGCAUUACUCUCUACUUCAUCUGCACCAGCUCGUUCAGGAUCCGUAACUAUAAAAUAAAAUAUUUUAAAAUCGUCAAGAGUCGUCACACUAUCAAAAUAUAUAAGUAUGGCAUGUAUAGGUAGACUUUUAUUCAUACUGCAUAUUUCUGAGAACCGAUUAAACCUGCUCUGAUACCAACAAAUGUAACACCCCUUACCCAAGACCAUUUUCGGAGUCGAGCACGAGGCAUUACUUAUCUUAUCUUACUAACUCGAAGCAUAAAAACUUAUUUUAAAAAUUAAUUUCACUAUUUACAGCAAUCUGUCCAAUCGAGCAGCAGUUACUAAAUUAAUAAUAACUCGAGCUACGGAACUUGAAAUUUAACUUCGUAAAUUUUCACUGAAACUAGACUCAUAUAUCUUCCUACCAUAAAGUUUUUAGGAUUUUUUGUUUAGCCAACUAGUACAGUUUAUUAGUCAAAUUCUCCCCUGUUUCACCAAUCGAUUGCCUUGACCUCUUAUCACUAAAAAUAAAAUUUCUCAAUGUGGGAUUUUCGUAUAGUGCUACUGCUUGCUUCUACAAAAAAUAGACUCAAUAAGGAAUCUAUAAAUAUAAACUACAGCUCCUAAAUAUUUUUUUAAAAAUUUUAAUGAUUUUCUAAACUCAAAAUAGGGGUCACCAAAAACUGUUCUAACCCUGUCUCACCAAAAUUCACAUAUCUUAAAAUAUAAAAUUCAUUUUGCUACACCGUUAUUUUUAUCUGAAAAUAGACUCAACAAGAUUUAAAUUCAUAUAUCAUUCACUCUUUAAUUCAUUUUAUACUAUCCUAGGUGAUAUUUCAAAGUCACGUCGUUGUUGCUGCCUGAAUUCUGUUUCUUUGCAAAAUUGUACCAUUUUAUGAUUUCCAUGCAUAGUUUAUCACUUACACUCUUAUAACAACAAACACUUCCAUACUUCACCAUUUUAGCAACCAUUCAUCAUCAACUACUUACAUAUCAUUCUUUAUCAAGAUCAUAAAUACAAACAUUUAAAAUAACUAAAUCCCUAUACAUUCCAUACUCAACAUGGUUCAACAUAAAAAUACCGAGUUGCUGUGGCUGAUAGUGUGGACGAUCUCCGACUUCUUUAGGAUCCUUGAAGUAACCUUGCAAUACUAUAAGAGAAAGAGAAAUAAAAGACGUAAGCAUAAAGCUUAGUAAGUUUACUAGCAAAUAAAUAACAAUAUUUAACUCAGAUAAUUAAACUCAAGUGUCUAUAUCUCUAGUUUACUCUUUAGUUAAUCCCAUUCUAGUUCUCUUGCUUGUUUACUUAGUAUACUUGUGUGCAUAACUUAAUCUUCUCUUGCUGUAUCGUUGAAUAUCAAUUGAUAAUAUAAUAAGUUCUUAACUCUUAUAACUUACCUGAACUUGCCAUUUAUGUUUUUAACUGAACUUUCCUGAACAUGAUUCGUUAUUUAGCCCGUUGAGCUACAUUGGAACAAUAAGGAUACUCGGGUCUCUUCUGAUAAUAACAUGCCAAAGCCAUGUCCCAGACAUGGUCUUACAUGGGAUGUACUCAUGUCGGUGCCCAUUCCAUGUCCCAGACAUGGUCUUACGGGGGACCUCUCAUCUCGGUGCCAAUGUCAUGUCUCAGACAUGGUCUUACAUGGGACCUCUCAUCUCGGUGCCAACACCAUGUCCCAGACAUUGUCUUACAUGGGACCUCUCAUUUCGGUGCCAACGCCAUGUCCCAGACAUGGUCUUACAUGGGACCUCUUUAUCCAAAUGUCAUGACAUUCGUAUCCAGUAUUAUCCUUAUGUAUCAACGGGACUUUUUAAUUUUAAUUCUCUAUCAUUUCAUGCUUGGAUAAUCAUCAAAUAAAUUCAUGAAAUAAAUUCAUAGUUGCUGGAAAAUAGCAGCAUUAAUAAAAAUUAUUGAAAUAUUUCAUUUAUUUACCGUAAACUUACCUUGGUACCGAAUAUAGCCCAAUUCACCAACUUAGUCUUCAACUUUAUUCUUUCCUUUGUCUAACCUCGAGUUUCAUUCUUCUUGAUCUAAAAUAGAAAAUUUAACUUAUUUAAUACUCACAUUCAUCAAAACAGCCCUCGACUCUAACUUUUCAAAAUUAUGAUUUUGCCCCUAAACUUUUACAUAAUUACAUUUUUCCCCAAGGCUCGAAAAUUCAACUUCAUCUCAUAUUCUUAUGUUUUAUGGCAUGCUGAAUAUUUUUCUCUUCUAUGACAAUAUCAAAUUCUCACUCUAACACUUACUUAUGUACAUUAGAGAUUUUUACCGAUUAUGUCAACUUACUCGUUUUUGCUUAAAAUCGGCUAACAAAAGUUGUUUAACAUAAUUUAUAGCUUCAUAUUCUAUCAUAAAACAUCAAAAUAAACACUUUUCACCUAUGGGUAUUUUUCCAAAUAUAAACCCUAGGUUAAAUUAUUGCUAGAAUAAGCUAAAUUAAGUUACCGGGACUCCAAAAACGUAAGGAACAUUAAAAACGGGGCUUGGGAUCACUUACUAUGGAGCUUGGAAGCUUGAAAACCCUAAAUAUGGCUUACCCCCUUGCUGAUUUCGUCCAAAUGAAGAAGAUGAGCAUAAUUUGUCAUCUUUUUCCCUUUUAAUUCAUUUUAAUUACUAGAUUACCAAAUUGCCCCUAACUUAAAAAUUUCCUAUUUCACUUAUCUCAUGUCCAUUUUUGUCUAAAAACUUAACCAAUGGUCUAAUUACCAUAUAAAGACCUCCAAUUUAAAGUUUCAUAACAAUUGGACACCUCUAACAUGUAGAACUCAACUUUUGCACUUUUUGCAAUUUAGUACUUUUGACUAAAUUGAGUGCCCAAACUUCAAAAUUUUCGAAUAAAAUUUUCAUGAAAUCAUUUUGUGAAAUCAUAGACCAUAAAAAUAUAAGAAAAAUAAAAUUUUCCUCAUCGGAUUUGUGAUCCCGAAACCACUGUUCCGAUAAUCUUAAAUUUGGGCCAUUACAUGAUCACCUUUUUACUAGCUCAUACAUCUCCUACAUCAGACCUUACAUGCAUGCUUACCAAACUUUAUUCUUUUUAACAAAACUUUAUACAUAUCAUCGUAGCACAUCUUUCAUCUUUACUAAACUCAUAUUUUUACCAAUUUCUGUAGACAUCAUCAUCAUCAUCCUAUAUAUAUGCUUCUUGUUUGAACAGUUCAUAUCAAAGAGUCAAGAUAGAGACCCACUUGACACUCACCUACUGCAGUUCAAAGCUCUAAACUUAACCAUCCUUCUCAAACCAGCAGUAAAAACUGCUUAUAGAACAUAGAAUCACCAUUAAAAACCCAUUUACAUACAAAUUACUAUCAUCUUAAUCACUUUUCCACUGUUAAUUUAUAAAUAAGUGUUAAGUAGUAAAUAAAUAAAAAAAUUAACUAAGUUUUCAAAAAAAAAGUCACUGUGACGAGAAGAAUGUUAAAAUUAAUUGGUGUUUGUUAACUCAUAUGUUUUUCUAAAAAUGGGUUAAGUUUUCUUCUGAAAUAAACAAAUGUUUUAAAAUGAUUGUUUUAUAAACUCCGAUCGUACUAUCCCAUCUUGGUGGCUGAUGUAAUAUCCCAAAUUCAGGUCUAACAUCUAAGUCGGGUUGGAUAGGUUACAAUAUAUAUAGAAAGAUUGAUAAAUAAUGCAAACUUGAAUACAAGCAAAGAAAGAAAUCAAUCAAUGUGAAUGACUAACAAGUUUAAAAUCAUAUAUUUGCAUUAUAUUUUGUAAAGCACAAGAUUGUCAUGGAAUUAGACAAUUUGUUUUGAUAAUGGUUAUAUUUUAUAUAGAUUUACUUUUAUGCACUUUCAUAUUGAGUUGAUCAAAAGUUUUGAAACUUUAUAGAAAAUUUGAAUGAAAGAGCAUAUUGAUAUAUAUGCUAUCUUGAGUGUUGAAUUAAGCAUUCUUUAGUAAAAGAGUGUACAUUUCGCACAUGGUAGGUGUGUUGGUUUCUUAUAUAUUAAUUAAGCACAAAUUAAAGAAAAAUAAUAUAUAUCACCAUAGUGUUGUAAUAUUUUGUAUAAUUUGUGAAAUUAUACAAGCAAAUAAGUUUACCUAUCUUGUUAAAUAAAACUCAUUAAGUUGGUUCUUAAUCUUGAAGAAUUAAAUAGGUUGGCUUCUUUAUUCAUUUUAUCCAACUACAAGUUAGAUUAAAGUUGUGGAAAUAGAAUGGUUGAAAAUUUGUGUUAAUGAGAAUUAGAGUUAUGGCCACAACUGAUGCCAACUAUUUCCUAAAAACAGGGAAUGAUGUCCAAAAACAUGCUGUAAAAUAAAAAUUUGGACAUGUUAGAAUAUGAAUUUAUUAUAUUAUAGUUUCAAUGUAAUACCCUUAUCCCAUCUCUGUUGCCGGAUUAGGAUUUCAGAGUAUUACUGAGAAAAAUAGAACAUUUAACUUUCCAACAGAAACAAUUGUACAAUUAAAUACCAACAUAUAACAAUUGAAUCUAAUCAUGGCAAAUAUUACACUUUUGGACCUUGAAUCGAGCCUAUGGGGCCCUAGAAACAGUUUAGGAACAAUCUGGGAUCAAAUCAAAACAAAUCAGAACAUUUUGAAAAAACAUAAAAAUUUAGGAAUACAGAGGUCACAGGCCAUAUGGCCAAGUCGUGUGACAUAGCCUAGAUUGUGUAAACAUCCGAAGUCAGGACACAUAGCUGUGUCCCAGCCUGUGUGUCUACUCAUGUGUAUAUUUGAAAUAGGGUCACACAGUCGUGUUGCAGACUGCCAAACGUGUGUGUAUUCAAAGUGAGGUCGCAAGACCAUGUGGCCGACCGUGCCACAAACUGUUUUGAGACACAAGGUCAUGUCUCAGACCGUGUAAAACAUGCACUUAAAAUAAUAAAUACACACGACCGUAUCUAGUGACUAUGUGUGGCACAUGGUCGUGUGGUAGCUUGUGUCUCAGGUCGUGUGCUCCAUUUUUAACCCCUAAAUCAAGCCAAUCAAGCAUCAUUUCUUAUACAACAAGACAUACCAUAUCUAACUAAUUUUACAUGGUUAAAAACACAUUCAAAUCAACAAAUACAUGCCAAAAUUUCGUUCAUCCUAUGUCUAACCAAUAUGCCAUCAAAAGGCACCUCAAUCCAUACAUCCAUUCAACUCAAGAACAAAGUUACAAUAAAUGAACAAGUUUUAUCAUUAGUUAACCAUUCAUGCCUAAAACCACUAAUCUAAUUGACCAAAAUAUGGGCAUACUCAACAAGCAACCAUUUCAAAACAUCAUCAUCAAAUCUUUAUAUACCAUUUAUGAUCAACUUAAUUAUAUUCAACACAAGUACACAUCCAAAAUCAAGCACAUCACUAAGUAUGCCAAAAUAACUUAACUAUUUACAUAUCAACAAUAAGACACCAUAUCCCAAAAUGAAAUAAAAAAGCUACCAAGAUGGUUGGAUAGUGUGUGCUCCAAAACAAUUCAUCCGGUUAGUCCACAAAACGCCAAAUCAACCAAUAUAGAUAAACAAAAAGGUAAGUUCUAAUUCUUGAUAUUCAAAUGCAAGAUCACACCACAUUAGUAUAUAUUUAUUUACAUCAUAAAUGAUACCUUCCAAAAUUCAUAACCAAUUCAUCAUCCACAAUUUCUCAAUACAACCAUUAAUAUUUAUAAACAAGAACUUCAUAGUAACAUUUAUCAUUUAGUAGUAAUAUAAUUAUCCAACAAAAUUGAACAAAUAAAUGCGUUUUAAGUCAUUUGAUACAUAGCCUGCUGAACUAUAGUAACUUGACUCGGAUACUCAUGAUACUACAUCACACCAAAGGUAUCAAUGAUGCAUAACAGAGGCACCGAAGUGCAGACAAAUGCAUGAAUGUGCAAUCAGAGGCACCGAAGUGAAAACAGAUGCACCAAAGUACAAACCCGUACGAGUGCGCAUUAAAACCCUAUUGGCAUGCUAAUCGUAUCCUAAUUGUUUACUACGUUCAACUGGGCAUUAUACUUAAAAUCAUAAUAUCAAUAAAUCCAUCAUUUAGAGGCACUUCUUAUUUCCGUACACAUACUAUAAAUAUGUAACUUUCAUUUCAAUAAUAUGCAAUAACAAUAAUUACCAUCAUCAAACAUUCAUUUUCUAUUUGUACUUAAUUGCAAAAUUUAAUAAUAUAUAAGUAACUCAUGAAAUUUCACAUAUAUACCAUUAACUAGAAAACAAUAAUAUAAUCAUAAAGUGACACACAUAUACAUAUUAUUACACUAUGAACUUACCUAAAAUCUACUUUCGAUUAAUACACAGGGACUACUCCGCUAUUUUUUCCCUUUUCUCGGUUAUUGUCUUUUUGACUCGGUUCUUGAUCUAUAUAGUAAUUAAAUUCAAUUUAUGAAAUUCACAUACAUUUAAAACUCAAUUCAAUGCAUGAUACCCUUAUGUUUUCAUUAUUUUCACAUUUUUCUUAAACUUUUACAUUUCUCACAAUUUAGUCCCUACAAAAUUUAACAAAAUUUUACAAUUUUCCAUGUUAGUUGAACUUCUUUCGAAACUAGUACAAUCCCUAAUUAUUCACAAUUCACAAAAUUUCUAUGCAAAUUUUAAUAAUUCACACAUUGAUCAUUAAACUCAAAAUUAACACAAAUUUUUUUACAAAAAUAUCCUAAUCAACAUUCAAAUAUGUACAACUACCAUUAAAAAUCAUGAACACCAAAAUUCCAUUACUAACCAAUCCCUAAAACUUUAACAUUUUUAUAAUUCCAUCCUCGGGUUUAAUAGUUUAAGUUACAACGAGUUCAAAAACGUAAAAAUUAUUAAAAACAGGUAAGAGAAACACUUACAUGCACCAAUUUGCUAACCGAAACUUCAAGCUCCAAAAAUGGAGUUUUUUUUUUCUUUUUCGGUGGGAGAGAGUUGAGAAGAUGAUGAUACCAUUUUUUUCUUUUGUUUCUUUUCUUUAAUCAAACUAAUUACUAAAUUAUCCUUUUAAUCUAAACUAAAUUAUUAACAUAGCAUGUCCGUAAUUAUCCAUUAACUAACCAUAAGGUUUAUCUAUCAACCAAGUCCAUUACUUUAGUUUUUCUUUAAAAAUCAAGCACAUUUAACAAAUAGAAGCCACUUUAGCAUCUUUUACAAUUUAGACCUUUUUACUAAAUUAACUAAACAGACAUUAAAAUUUCUUAGCCAAAUUUUAUUAUGACUCCAAUAUAACUCUAUAAGCAUAAAAUAAACAUAAAAUACUAACUCAUUUGUCGAAAUUGUGGUCCUGAAACCACCUUUUUUGAUACCACUGAAAAAUGAGAUAUUACAUUAAAUCUCUAAUUUAUGAUAAUGAAUGUGAGAGAAUAAUUUUCUUUGUUUAGAAAUACUAAUCAUUUUCUUUGUUUAGUAAUACUACAACUAGAAUGUGUUUCGACCCUAUUAUUAGAAACUAAUAAUGGAAACCCAACUUUUAAUUAGAAACCUCUAAUUUUAAAGUUUAAUAGGUAACACCCCGAAUUUUGGCCCUAGAAGAAAUAUGUUUUGAACAAGGGAACAGUUAGGAGACUGCACAUAAAUAUUUAGUUGUGCAAGGAAGUGACAUAAAUGAAUGUCUACUUCAGUGGUUGAGUGAUUUAGGAGUGUUUGGAACUGUCUGAGAAGUCAGGGAUUCAAGCAUUGCUUAUGCAAAAUUUUUAUUUUAAGUGAAUAAAAUCAUUGGAUCUAGAUAGUAAGUUCUUAAAUUAUUGUGGUUAAAAUAUGAUGCAAAAGAGUUGUUGGUCUAGUGGUAAGGGGUGUGUGGAGUGCACAUAGGGCCUAAGGUUCGAGUGGUGGCGCAUCAGAAAGGAAAUAUUUAUUUUGCUACUUGAGCUGUUUAGGUAGUGGAGUUGGACUGAAACACAACUAAGGGGAGUUUGCAUAGAAUUUGAAUGGAGUUGUUGGGGGAGUUGAGGAGAAACCGGUAGAAUAAUUUAAGGAGGGAUAAGGGGAGAGAUUUUAGGAGAAAAUCAAGGGAAGUGAGGGGAGUGAAGAAGUGUGCCGAAAGUGGACUUUGAUACUCAGGAAAUUUGGCCAGAAGGGAUACUGCUCAUUUUGGUAUACUUUUCAUUUCGGUUUUGUGUAGUGUUUCUCUCUCUUUUUGCUUUUUGGUGCCGAAUUUUUGCUAAGAUUUCGAGUACCACUCGGGUUUUUCUUUUGCUGCUUUUUUCUUUUAUCAUUUCUUUUGUUUUGGCCGAAUUUCUUUUUAGUUCCCUCCUUUGUCGAAUUCUUUUCUCUCUUCUCUUUGUUGCUUCUUUUCAUUUCUCUAUUUUUCCAAACCUUGACCGAACAGUGUUGAAGUAGUUCUGUGUUCCAUCUUUUGUCUAAAAUGCUCUUCUUCCUCUACUCCUUUUGAUCAACUAUUUGUCGAAUAUUGCCUUCUCUCCCCUUUUAUCUCUUUAAAUUUAUUUUCGGCUUGACAACAAUUCUCUAACAGUUCAAAUUUCUUGAGGAGUGAAAAAGUAUCGCAUAAUAUUAAAGUCAUCGAAACCUUUCUCUCAUCACUCGAUCAAAGGUAAGUAUGUAGGCUAGCAUUCUAAAGUGUAGGCUGAGUGCUUUCUAUGGUUUCAUAAGUUAUUAUGUUUGGAUUUAAACCACAUGAAUAAACAAUCCUAUUUAAUAAAAUCCGUUUGUAAUGCAGAUAUCCAUCAAAGAGAUUGUAGUCAACCUUCGUCAGUGAUAUAAGUAGGCUAAGUCACAUUUGACAAUCGAGGCUUUGGUGCUCGUGGAUCUUAGAGUGUUUUCACAAUCAGGUGUGUAAACACCCCACUGUAACCGUAGAACGACAAAAAGCUAAAAGGCCAAAAAUACGGUGUUUGAGACCACACAGGCGUGCGAUCUCUCAUGUGGUAAGCCCAACCCACAAAUCAUGGCCGAUAGACUGUAGAGGCCUCCAUGAACAUUUCCAUGGGCUUAGGCCGUAAUGGGCCACGUUGGGCCGAAAUGGGUCGUGUGGGUUCAAUAGGCUCGUGGGCACCAUACAGAUGAGAACCACGAUUUGUGAAAAAUACUGGACUGGGCUAUGAAGAUCUCAUAGCCGUGGAAAAAUCUGGGCUGAACAGGCCGCACAAGCGUGCGGGCCUACUUGGGCCGAGUAAUGGGCCUUAGGCCCAUUUGUACCAUUAUGACCAUUUAGGUUACCUGAGUCGCUCGAGGUAACUACGGACCUUUCGAGAGGUCGAUAUCUGCACCAAGACCCAAAAUAGGUAAAAUGAUCGAAAUACCCCUAUAGAGUAAAAUGACCGAAAUACCCCCAAAGGAUAAAAUGAUUGAAAUACCCCUAUAAGGUAAAACGAUCGAAAUACCCCCGUAGGAUAAAAUAACUAUUAUACCCCUAGAAGAUGAAAUGACUGUUAUGGCCUUAUGCUAUGUAUGACUGUUUUGCUCUAUGAUAUGUAUGACUAUGGUUGAGCAUGACAUUUUUCAUACACGUAUGAUAUUAUGUCAUGAUAUAUUGCAUGGGGAUGGAUUGUUAUAUUUGGAGGAAGUGUACUGUACUGACAAGGUUGCACGGGUCGCCCAAGACGACUGUGGACCUACUGAUGGCUAUAUGCCAUUUAUUUUACUGGCAGCUUUGCUGCAAUACUGUUUAAUGCUGCAACUGGUGCUAAUCUUGGUGUGUUUGGAUGGAUGGGUAGAUUUUAUCCCCCAUAUGGUGUGUUUGGCGGAACUGUAACACCCUUAACCUGAAUCCAUUCUGACAUUGUCUCACAAAAUUUAUUAUAUCUCAUAGUUUACAAUUUUAUUACUUACACCAUUUCUUCCAUGAGAAACUAGACUCAAUAAGUUUUAAUUCUAUAUUUUAUUCAUACUCUAAUUCGAUUUUCAUAAUUUAUGGUGAUUUUUCAAAGUGAGCCUACUGUUGUUGUCCAAAACUAUUUUAGUACAAGAUGUUUAUUACCAUGUUUAUAACACCCUUAUUUUCUUUCUCUACACUAUUUCUCAUCCCUUUCUCUUAUUUUCUCUUCACUUACAUAUUAAGAACAUAGGACCAUAUAUACAAAAAAACUUUACACUAACAUCAUUUCCAUACUUUUUCAAUAAUAUCAAACUUAAAAAUAUACUAAAAUCUUGAUGUACUUACCUUGUCAUAUUGAUUUUAAUCUUUAACUUGAUUUUCUCUCUCCUCCAGCUUCUAUUUCUUGAAUCUAACUUGAUAUUAUAGCUCCCCAUAGUCUCCUUGUAAUCUUUCUCUCUUGAUGGAUAUGGAAAUUCUUUUGAUUUCUAGAUGAAAAUAGUGAAUUUUUGGUGAAAGGACUAAAUUGUAAAGAAAGCAAAACUUUCUUUCUUCUCUUCUCCUCUUAACGUGAAUUGCAUGGAAAAGAUGGUGGGUUGGUUCCUUUUCAUCUUUCUUUCCACAUAUAUAUACUAAAUAAUAAAAUAAUAAAAUAUCAUUUAAAAAUCAAAUUAAAAUACUAAUAAACUAAUAUUUAUUUGUUUAUUUAAUCUAAAAUAUCUCCAACAUCAUCAUUAUCUUCUAGAUUUCUCUCUCUUCUAAUUGACCAUUUUGCCCUUCAUGAUAUUUUAAAAUUCCAUCCUUGAGUCAUCACUUAAUUUCGUAAAAUUUCAAUUUAGUCCCUCAAAAUUCCUCACCUUUUUUCAAUUUAGUCCUAAUACAUCCAUUUUCCUUAGUUUCUAGAUCAUUCCACCCUUAAAAUAUUUACACCAUUGGUCCUUCAAUUUUUUCAUAUUUACACUUUAACCCCUCAAUUUUUGAGUAUUUACUCUUGGGCAACAAAAUUUUUACGAUUUAAUCCUUUCUUGAGGUAAUAUGUCAUAAUAUACUUCCCAAUGUUGACAUAACUCCAAAAUUCCCUUUUUUGUCGCUUUAUUUCCUUAUUUUUUUAUAUCAAAGAUAAUAUCUUACUGUAAAAAUUUUUUUGGGGGGUAUUACAUUUCUCUCCCCCUCAAAAUAAAUUUCGUCCUCGAAAUUUCCUUAUUUUCUUUUGAUCAUGAACUUAUUUUUUCUUUAAUUCUAUAGUUCAUUUUUUUUGCAUAUAUUUACUUAGCUUAUCAUUUGUGUCUAUUCUUUAUUCUUUCAUUUCACAAUUUAUUUUUAAUUUAAUAUUUCAAACAUGAAUCAGAGAUAAACUUUUACCUUGUAACUAAAAUUAUUUACCUUUUUACCUGAGGCCCAGUGGACUAAAUAGAACACGUAGGAUAUAUGAAAUUGAUACAGAAGUGCUCUGUUAUACAUCAUUAAACAGAGAGCACUAAAGUGUUAUACGGGAGCAUAAAUGUGCUAAUAAUUGGAGAGCACUAGCGUGCUAUUAAUCAGAGAGUGCGCUAAGGUUCCUUAAUGAUAUACUACUAAUAUCCUAAUAGUUCUAAUCUCAUCUACUUGGGCAAAUUAUAUCAUGCAUGCAUACGACUUUUACACUUUGCGCAUAAUGCUUUUACAUACUUUACAAUUUAAACCUUGUACCAAUGAUUCGUAUAUUUAUACCUUCUCUACCUUUAAUACAUGUAAUAUAUUUCAAAAUUCACUAAUAAUCCAUAUAUAUCAUGUACUUCAUAUAUCAUUUUUACAUAUUAUGCAAUUUAGUCAUCAGCGCAAUAUUUCUUGUAGCAAUAUGUUUUUCUUUUAAUGACACAUAUAACAUUCAUCAUCGACAUGUAUUAUAAAACAUUUAUUCAUACUUUCAUGAGUUCCAAUUCAUCCUAAUCAAUUUUUUUUACUCAUAUACUUGAGUAUCACUUUCAACAUUAUCAGAAUUAGCUCGGUUAGGAAAACAUCUCUGUUUAUAAGUAAAACAAUUCUCAUCAGACUCGAGAGAUAUCACACUAUCACAGGUUACAUAAUGGCAUGCAUUUCUAGACUUCACAUAAGCUACGUUUGGUCCAAGAACCGACUAAAUCGUAGCUCUGAUACCAAUAAAUGUAACACUCUUAACCCGAAUCCAUUCUGACAUUGUCUCACAAAAUUUAUUAUAUCUCAUAGUUUACAAUUCUAUUACUUACACCAUUUCUUCCAUGAGAAACUAGACUCAAUAAGCUUUAAUUCUAUAUUUUAUUCAUACUCUAAUUCGAUUUUCAUAAUUUAUGGUGAUUUUUCAAAGUGAGCCUACUGUUGCUGUCCAAAACUAUUUUAGUACAAGAUGUUUAUUACCAUGUUUAUAACACCCUUAUUUUCUUUCGCUACACUAUUUCUCAUCCCUUUCUCUUAUUUUCUGUUCACUAACGUAUUAAGAACAUAGGACCAUAUAUACAAAAACUUUACAUUAACAUCAUUUCCAUACUUUUUCAAUAAUAUCAAACUUAAAAAUAUACUAAAAUCUUGAUGUACUUACCUUGUCAUAUUGAUUUCAAUCUUUAACUUGAUUUUCUCUCUCCUCCAGCUUCUAUUUCUUGAAUCUAACUUGAUAUUAUAGCUCCCCAUAGUCUCCUUGUAAUCUUUCUCUCUUGAUGGAUAUGGAAAUUCUUUUGAUUUCUAGAUGAAAAUAGUGAAUUUUUGGUGGAAGGACUAAAUUGUAAAGAAAGCAAAACUUUCUUUCUUUUCUCCUCUUAACGUGAAUUGCAUGGAAAAGAUGGUAGGUUGGUUCCUUUUCAUCUUUCUUUCCACAUAUAUAUACUAAAUAAUAAAAUAAUAAAAUAUCAUUUAAAAAUCAAAUUAAAAUACUAAUAAACUAAUAUUUAUUUAUUUAUUUAAUCUAAAAUAUCUCCAACAUCAUCAUUAUCUUCUAGAUUUCUCUCUCUUCUAAUUGACCAUUUUGCCCUUCAUGAUAUUUUAAAAUUCCAUCCUUGAGUCAUCACUUAAUUUCGUAAAAUUGCAAUUUAGUCCCUCAAAAUUCUUCACCUUUUUUCAAUUUAGUCCUAAUACAUCCAUUUUCCUUAGUUUCUAUAUCAUCCCACCCUUAAAGUAUUUACACCAUUGGUCCUUCAACUUUUUCAUAUUUACACUUUAACCCCUCAAUUUUUGAGUAUUUACUCUUGGGCAACAAAAUUUUUACGAUUUAAUCAUUUCUUGAGGUAAUAUGUCAUAAUAUACUUCCCAAUGUUGACAUAACUCCAAAAUUUCCCUUUUUGUCGCUUUAUUUCCUUAUUUUUUUAUAUCAAAGAUAAUAUCUUAGUGUAAAAAAAAAUUUUUUGGGUAUUACAGGAACAGAGUGGUGUGUAGAGGCUGGAUUGGGUAGGAUUUCUAACUGCAUAUCUACACUAAUUAAUGAUUUUGUAUUGUUACUACAUCGAUUAAUGAUAUUACAUACUGUUUACUGCAUGACUGAUAUUUGUUGCUGUUAUGGGCCAAGGCCCCACUGAUACUAUUACUGAAAUUGGGCAAAUGCCCUAUUGAUUAUUGGUAUUGUGAUGGGCUCAAGCCCAAUCGUUUAAUGUUACGGGAAAGGGCUUAGGCCCACACUGAACUGGACUGUUACUAUAACAGGCUCAGGCCCAAACUGUAUUUAUCUAUUGUUUAAUUGACUACUUACUUGUUAGGGGAUUGCACACUGAGUUUUCGUAAACUCAACCCGUUGUUUAACUGUACAGGUAAUCCCUAGUUGUAGUAGGGUCAGUGCUGCGAGGGACUCGAUGAUGGCCACACAACUGCAUCAGCUUUUGUUUUUAGCCUUUGAUUUAUAAGAAACUGAAUUUGGGUAUUUUUAUGUAAAAAGGCCUCUUUAAAGUUAUAAACUUUAAAUUGGGGUUUUUAUUUAUUUAGUUUGAUAUAAACUACUAGUUGUAGAAAAAGACGGGUUUUCAAAAGGUAAAUGUUUUCAAAGUUUCAAAAGGUAAAUGUUUUCAAAGACACCACGUUUUCGCAACAUUUCUAAAAAAAAACUUCCGCAAUGAAUGAGAUUUUGGAAAAUUUAUAACGUUUUAAAAGUGAUUAGCUUUUAAUGAUGCAUGCUUGGAAAUGAACAACCCGUUUUGGAAUCAUAGUUUAACAGCAAAAUGAUUAAUUGAUUUUAAAGAUUUCAACGACAACAAGUUUUACGCUAAACACCUUAAAGUGACACCGCCAGAUUCAACCAUAACUCCUAGGCCGGGUUUGGGGUGUUACAAUGUGUUUCAACCCUAUUAUUAGAAACUGAUACCCUAUUAUUAGAAACUGAUAAUGGAAACACAACUUUUAAUUAGAAACCUCUAAUUUUAAAAUUCAAUAGGUAAAAGCAAGUUAUCGUUAAGUGCCUGUGAUACGCUAGUAAAACUCAUUCUAGAAAAAAAAGUUUAAUGGAAACAAUUGUUAUCCAUUGCGUAUAGAGGAUGAAUUUGAAUACUAUUAAUUAAGUUCAUUGUUUAUUGUUUAAAUGUCUAAAGUAAGGGAGACAUUAAAAGAACUCUACCUUUAUAAACAUAAGAAGUGGUGCCACUUCAACAAGUAAAGGUAGGGUCUCUCUUGUAAAUGUUUAUUAUGAACAAGAUAAGCACAUGAUCAUUUUAGUGCUAAAAGUGAACAACCUCUGAUAGAAAUAUAAACGAAUAUUAUGUAUAGUGUAUUUCAACUUCUAAUACUAGGAGUUGUGGUUCAAUCUUCGGACACCGACAACUUAUUAAAACUUUGAAAAGCAUCCGCUUAUUGAUGGUUCAUAUUGAGAGGUAUCAUCUUUAAUGCAUAAUAUUUGUUUGAGUGAAUGACCAUAAAGUAUGGUACCAACAUUUAAACUAAGGGUGAUUGUUAGUAGUUUAUAAUUUUGGCAGUAAAAAUAUUUUAUUAUGUAGAAAAGUCUAAUAAAUUAUAAUUAUUGGUCAAAUAGUUGUGUUGUAAAGACAAUUUUUGUAUGUAAAGUUGUCUUAUAAACUUUAUGUAAAGUUGUGUUGUAAAACAACAAAAUUAUAUGAAAAUGUAUCUUAUUAAAAGAUACAUCCAUAUGAAAGGGUAUCUCAUGAAAAGAUACACCUAUUAGAUGUCUAUAUAAAAGAUUUUUCUGUUAGUUAUUUAAAUUGUUUUGCUUGGAGUGUUGAGGGCUUUGUUGUAUCUUGAAGGUAUUUUAAAAUCUUAAAGAAAGUGCUCUACACACCUUAAAGUCAUUAUAUUUUAUAACAUUAUUUUAUUUUUCUAACUUUUAUUUUCCUAUUAUUUAUUUUUCUAACAGCUAGAAUAUAGGAAAAUUAUUAUGUUUCUAGCUAUAUAUUGAAUACAAGUAUGUUGGUGUUUAGAACUCGAACUUUGAUGGUUGAUCGAGAGAUUUGAAGCAGAAAGAAGAGACGGGAAGUUUUAAGUAGAAAAAUAAUUGAAGACUGGAAUAUAUAAUUGAUUUGCACCUCAACUAUUUAAAUACAAAAGUUCAAGCUAAAAAUAGAAAAAAAAAGUUCUAAAAAUCUGCUAAAAAUCUGGUAACAAAAUAGCAAACAAAUCAAAAAUCUAAUCUCCUAAAGUCAAGGAGAAUUAUUCAAACUUAGUAACAGAAAAAAUUUAAAUGGCAGCAAUCUUAAACACAUGAUCUUAACACUCCUCCUUGUUUAGAUGCUACAAACUCCAAGUUUCUUCCUGAAGCUUUCAAACUUGCUAAGUGGCAAUGGUUUGGUGAAGAUAUCUGCAAUUUGAUCUUCAGAUUUGUAGUAACAAAGAGACACAUCACCACUCUUUUAAACUUCUCGAACAAAAAAUAACUUGAUGUUAAAAUGCUUAGUCUUCCCAUGAAAGACUGGAUUGUUAGAGAUUGCAAUGGCAGCCUGGUUAUCAACUAGAAUCUUUGUGCUUUGCUUCUACUCCAUGUUUAGAUCAACAAGAAUCUUCCUUAACCAGAGAGCUUGGUUAACUGUUGCUGUUGCAGCCAUAAAUUCUGCCUCAACAGUGGAUUGAGCUACAGUUUCUUGCUUCUUCGAGCUCCAAGAGAACAUGCCUGAUCCAAGGCAAAAACAAUAACCAGAGGUACUCUUCAUAUCAUCAGUUAAGCCACCCCAAUCACUGUUAGAGAAACCAAUCAACUUCAAUUCCCUAUGCUUUAAAAACUUUACUCCAUAAUUCCAGGUCCCCUUGAUGUAUCUGAUAACUCUUUUUGCAGCUCUCAUGUGAGUCUCAUUGGGACAAUGCAUGAAUCUGGAGAGAAUACUUACAGCAUUCAAGAUGUCGAGUCUGGUUGUUGUUAAGUACAUUAGACAACCUACCAAACUCCUGAACUCAGCUUCAAUGACUUUGGCAGAACCAUCAUCUUUGAUUAGCUUCUCUUUUUGAUUCAUAGGAGUACUCAUUGCUUUGCAAUCUUCCAUAUGGAAUUUUCUAAGUAUCUCCUUUGCAUACUUUCUUUGACAGAUGAACACUUCAUCUUGGCUUUAUUUGAUCUCAAUGCCAAGGAAAUAAGACAUCAGAUCAAGGUCUGUCAUUUCGAAGACAUUAUGCAUUUCCAAUUUAAACUGAUUAACUUGAUCGAUAUUGCUCCUUGUAAUCAAUAAGUACAAAUAAGCAAGCUUUUUCCUUUGAUUUCCUUAUCUUCUUUUCUUUUUGUGCUUUAAUCUGUGCCACAGUAGGAUUUGCUGGAAGAGGUGGGACCUCGUAAUCCUCUUCUACAGGUUCCCAAAGAUCCAAAGCCUCUAUGUAAGUCUCCAUGCGAACUGCCUACAUCUGGUAAUUGUCUCCAUCGAAGACUGGUGGUGCAGCAACUGAAAAACUGGACCCUCCUUCCAUAUUAACACGCAAAUAACCUAACAAAUCCCUCAAGAAAAUAGCUCUGAUACCAAUUUGUUGGUGUUUAGAACUCGAACUUUGAUGGUUGAUCGAGAGAUUUGAAGCAGAAAGAAGAGACGGGAAGUUUUAAGUAGAAAAAUAAUUGAAGACUGGAAUAUAUAAUUGAUUUGCACCUCAACUAUUUAAAUACAAAAGUUCAAGCUAAAAAUAGAAAAAAAAUGUUUUAAAAAUCUGCUAAAAAUCUGGUAACAAAAUAGCAAACAAAUAAAAAAUCUAAUCUCCUAAAAUCAAGAAGAAUUAUUCAAACUUAGUAACAGAAAAAAUUUAAAUGGCAGCAAUCUUAAACCCAUGAUCUUAACAAAGUACUACUUGGAAGCCAACACCCACAAACAUGAUAAAAGUUAAUUUUGAUGAGAGUUUUGACAUGGAAGCAAGAAAUGAGGAAGAGGGUAGUUAUGCAGCAUUGUGAUGAUUUUUUAGUCUGACUAUGCAACCAUCCAAUUUAGGGUGCAUUCUCCAUUGUGGUGAAAAAGCACUUAAAGAACAUUUGGUUUUUGCACUUAAAAUGUGAUGGAAAAAUGUUUUUCCACCCAAAUACAAAAACUAGGAUAUAAAUGUUUUUGACUUUUAGCUUUUAUGUUUGGAAGUGAAAAUUAUCAAAAUAUCAUUAUUUAUAUUAACUAUUUAAAUGGUAUAUAAAAAUUAGAUUAAUUUAUAUUUUAUAUAUCAUUAUAUUAAAUUAUUUAAAUAUUAUUUAUUAUUAUAUAUUUUAAUAAUUUAUAUAUCAUCUAUUUUACAAAUAAUUUAUAUUAAUUACUUAAAAAAUAUUUGGAACUUAUAUUUCAUGUAUCAUUAUAUUAAAUUAUUUAAAUAUCACAUAAUUUAACUAAUUUUUUACUUUCCACUAUCAUGUCUAAAGAAAAGGAUAUUUUAACUUUUAACAAGAAUUUUUUGUAGCAAUGGAGAACACCAAAAAUUAAUAAACACACUUUUUCAUAGUAAUUUUCAACCACACUUUUCAACCGCAACCCUAAUGAAGAAUUAAUCCUUACUAAAGUUACCGAAGCACUAGCUUCCACCGUAGCCAUUGAAAUGGCGCUCCAAUUGGGAUUGCAACACAUUAUUAUUAAAGGAGAUGCUCUCCAAGUGGUUUCGGAGUUGAAGGAAGACAAAGGAGACCUACCAACAACCGGACCUUGAUAGCAAAGAGUUGAAUACUUGCUAAACAGGUUCAGCAAUGUAGGUUUCAACACAGGAAGAGGCAUGCUAAUGAGGUGGCACAUCAUCUGACCAAACAGGGCCUUAAUUGUUUUCCAUCUUUUGUUCAUAUGUUUGUUUUGAAAAGGUAAAACAAAUCCUCACCUAUUGAUGUUAGAACGGUUGAAUUGCUAAAAGCAUGCUGCAUGCAUAACCAUGCUUUAGGUUAGGCUUCAAAUUAAAUAAAUUUUAAAUUAUUUUUAUUUAAAUUUAAUUAUAAAAAUAAAUUAAUAUCAAUAGAAAAUUAUAUAAAAUUUUAAGAUAUUUUAUUUUUCAAUAAUAAAACGAAUCAUUCACCAAACCUAAUUCUUCAAUUUCUUUUUAAUUAGAUCACAACUCAAGCCAAGCUAACCAAUAAACACCCAAAAUCUACCAUCAUUUUCAUUUUCAUUUUUUUUUCUUUUGUGACAAAGUAGACAGAAGAUUCGGUUUGGAUAAGCUCUACGUUAUUAAGUCAAAAGCUGAAGUAAUUUUAAUCAUAAAUUGUUUUAUUUGUCUAUAAUGCAAAACAAUGACCCAGUUAGUACAAUAAAGCUUUAACUUUGUGGAACAUUUCAGUCCAAAAAAAAAAAAAAAAAGAAUUGUGGAAAUUUUAGAGCAGUUGACCAUUUCUUCGGAAUUAGUUUUCUCACUUCUUGUCCAUAUUCCAUGUAUAUUAUUUCAAGAAAUUAGGUUUAGAAAUUUGCAUAAUUCAACCAUUGAACUAAUAAAUAUUAAACAAAAAUUGGGUGGCAAAAAAAAUCUUAUUAAAAUCAUAUACUAUUACUAAAAUUUAUGAUUAAAUUAGUGUCACGAGUUAACGGGACAUUAACAAAUUAUAUUAUUUGAGGGUAUUUUAAUCUUUUUAUUAAAAAAGAUGAUGUCUCAAAUUAACUCACAAUCUAAUCUAAUUUUUCAUUUUAAUAUUGUAAAUAUUUCAUGUUUUAUUAUUAAUUUGUUUCAAAUUAUACAUUUCAUUAUUUAUUUUAUGUUAUUUUUAAACACAUCUGUAUUCUAAGUACCUAAUUUUCACUUAUGGGUAUCAGAGGCGAAUCUAGGGAGGCUGAUAGGGGUCUCGGUCCCCUUAAAAUAGAAAAUUAUUAUUUAAGCCAUUUAGAAAAUUUUAAAAUUUUAAAUUAGUAAAUGUAAAAUUACACUUUGACCCCUCUAAAAUUAUAAAAAUUUGAUUUAAUCCUUUAAAAAUUAUAAAGAUAUAAACUAUUAAAAAUAAAAAUUUCAUUUCGGCCCUGCCUAAAAAAUUUUUUUGACUUCACCCCUAAAGUAUGAUAGAGUUUCUAGUAUGAAUAAUUUUCUUUGGAAGUGUUAAACAAACAAAGGAGUUAAGUAAACAGUAGUUUUCAUACAGAAAUAUUCGGCGUUGAUGUUUCCCUUUCGAAUAAUUAAAUUAAGACUUAGGAAAAGGGAAAACAAUGAAAAAGAAACUAAAAUUGAGCUUAAUUUAUGGAGUUGGGUUAAAAUUUUAAUAUUUAAAUAUAAAAAUUCUAAUAAUUUGAUCUGGUCCGUUUCAUCUAGCAGACUAAUAAUAAAUCUUAAAACAUAUUAUAUUUUAAUUUAAAUAAAACCAAAACUAAUACACUUGACCUACAUCUACAUGUGAUCUAUGCUUCAUUUAAAUUAGUCUAAAUUAGACGAGAUCUUGAUUAGGAGUCAUUUAUUUAUAUUAUAAGUCCCUGAAACAUGCAAAACUUACAUUUAAAAAUUAAUAUUUUUACGUUGUUGUUAGAAUAUAGGGUUUGUUAAUGUUUUCGUGUGAAGUCAGCUGUUGACAUUACCAAUCAGAUAAUGAAAAGGAAACAUGGCAAUUAUUCCAUCCUAAUUGUCACCAAAUUAAGUUAAUCCAAAAAUUACCAAACGUUUAGUACUUCAAUGGUAGAGUCAGCUCUUUCUUCUAGUCUAUCAAAAAAAGUCAAUUUAACCCCUAACUCUUGGAUGGAAAAGUUUUUGCUAUGAACUUGUUGAAGUGAAUCUCAUGUGAUAUAAACGCAUCGCAAUCUCCGUGUGUAACUAAAAAUAUUUGAGAGAUUGAAUAAUUUAAAGGGGAAAAAAAAAGAAUUUACUCCCUCCACUAACAAAUUACUCUUGCCAACGUAUGUAUGAAAGUAAACACCUUUAAUUAAUCAACAAAUGCUAAAGUUCGAGGUUUAGAAUUAAUUAAAUACCAAUAUAAAUAGUUAAUUACUUUUUUGAAAUAAGGAUAAAUCAGUUUGUGAGGUUUGAAUUUUUUGUAUCUUAACAAUUGUUCUGACUUUAGAGUUUGAAGGUUUUUUUUUUAUCCAAAUUAACCUAUGAACUUAGUAAUUUGUCUCUCAUUAAGGUUUAAAUUUUUUAUUUAUCUAAGUUAAUUCUUAAAAAUCUUGAAAUUCGAGAAUAAUUGUCAAGUUAAAAAAAUUUAGAUUUCAAUAUGAGAAUAAUCUACUAGUUCGUAACCUUAAUAUAAAAACAAUUGUUAAGUUGAAAACUUAAUUUAAAAACAAAUUCAAACCCUUCUUAAGUUUACGAUUUAACCCUUUGAAAUAUUGCGUUAACUAGUAAGAGUAAGAAUUAUUUUGUGUUGAUGAUUAAAUAAAUAUUUAAGUGGAGAUCAAGUUUUACCUCAUUUGUCAAUUGUCAGGUGAAGAAUAUAUACCCCUAAAGGCCUAUCAAAAACGGACCUAUCUCUAUCUAUAUAUCUUAACUAAUUUACUAUUCAUUUUUAAUGAAAAUCAAUAAAUCAAUGAAAACGUUAUAAAAAGAAAACUACGUGAAUAAAUUAUAUGUGUAAAAUUGAAAUAUUUCUUAUUUUAGUACAAUGGUAAGGAACAUUACAUUUUUAAGGAAAUGAUGUCAGGUUCAAACCUUAAAGAUAAUAUUCUUCUUCUUGAGAAGAACAAUCCCAAACUCCAAAAUGAACCCUUAUGAAUUAUAUAAAAAAAUUUUGAAAUAUUUCUAUAAAAUAUCAUUAAAGUUUUUUAUUUAAAAAAUGUUAUGGGUAUACUUUUACCUCUUGUAAAAAAGUCUUUCAUUUCUCAAUUCUUAUGGCAUAGUAAAUUUAUCAUUAAUUUUCAUCUUUAGGUAAAAAAAAUGGUUAUUAUUUGUGUAUUAAAUAAUUGUUAGGAUAAAUUUUAAAAUUGUAUAUGAAUUUUGGUUUAAUGUUAAUUAUAUACAUUAAUUUUAAUUUUAUGUAAUUUUAUAAAUGAAAUUUUAAUUUGAUCCAAUUCUAACAAAUUAUUAACACAGUUAUUGAUAUAACAUCAUUUUAUGUUUAUAUGCUAUAUACAGAAAUAAUUAUGUUUAUUCAAUAUAAAAAUAAAUUGAUGUAUUUAUUUCUUUAAACAUAUAUGAUUGAAUCAAAAUUAAAACAUCGUGUAUAUAUUUGAACCACAAUUAAAAUUUUACAUAUAAAAUUACAUAAAAUUACAAUUUAUAUACGUAAUAAACUAAAAUUCAUAUAUAAUUUUAAGAUUUAUGUCCACAAUUCUCUAAAGCUAAACGGUGAUGAUUACCAUGGAAAUUCAAUGUACUUAACUAAUUGGUUGAUAGGAACAGGCAUGAUGAAAUCCAUGAUGGGAAGAGAGAGAAUUCAAAAACUGGAAUGCCCCCAUUAAUCCAUGCAAAUAAACUUUUUCGGUAUUACAUCAUAAUUCAUUUAAUUUUAUCAUCAUCUCUAUGCCAUAACCAUGUUUAAAGUAAAAUACUUAUAUAAAUUGAGACAUUAAUAGUUUGUAUUAUAUAAAUUAUGACAUCCAUAUAUCCAUAUUAUAAUUUUUAUGAAAAAUUAGAGCUGGCAGAUAAAAAAUGGCUUACUGAUCAAUGAAAAAUAAACUUUAUUUCUUGUAAAUUGACUUAUCCUUUUAAAAAGUAUAAAUAUUUUUUUAAAAUUCAUUUAUGAGUAAUUUUAUUAUUAUAAAAAUUAAUUUUGCAAAGUCUAAUAUUAUUAUAUUAAUAAUUUUAUUUUAAAACUAUUUAAAAAUACUAAUAUCAAAUAUUAUAAUGUUGAAUCCUAGUAACAUACAUAUUAAAUUAUUUAAAUUAUGUAAUAUUGCAAUUUUAUUUUAAUACUAAAUUUUAACAACAAUAAUUUUAAAUUUUAGAUCAUAUUUUUAAUAUAUUAUUGAAAAAUAUUUAUAUUAAUAUUUUAAUAAUAAAUAUAUAUAUUAAAAUUUAUAAAUAUUUAAUAAUAAAUGUUUUAUAGUAUAAAAUAUGAAUAUUUUAAUUAUAUAGAUAUGAGCAUUUGUUUAAAUCAUGUUUAGUUUCAUUUAUCUCCCAACUAUAAUGUGUUAUUAUACACCGUCAUAUAUAUAAUAUAUGUAAUUUAAGCAUUGUUUAUUAUUAAAUUUAUAUAUGAUAUUAAUUAUUAUAAAAUAUUAUCUUAUUAUAAAAGAAAUUCUAAUUAUCAAAAAGAAAUGUUACUUUAAUAUUUUGUAACAAGUAUAUUUAUGUUGGGCUUGUUUCAAUAAUAACUUUAAAAUGAUUUUAGAAAAAAAAUUGUCAAAUAAUAAAAAAAUAUUUUAAGCAAAAUAAUUCAAACACAAAAAACUAUCAACUUUUCCAUAAAAUCAAUCCAAUUUUAAGAAAACAUUUUGUGAAAAUUGUUUUAGGUAAAACAAAAGGAACCUAUAUUUUAUAUAGUAUUUGAAAAGUUGUUGUAUCUAGAAUUAUUAUCUUAAAUAUUUUUUUAGGUCUAAUUUUAAAUUUCAUCCCUUUAUGAAAAUUGAGAAGUUAAAUUUUCUAUUUUACUUUAUCAGUCUGUGCUUGAUUGUUUAUUAAUUUGUCGUGUAUAAAUGGUUAAAUUAUUGAUUUUUGUUAAUUACUAGCAUGUAAAUUGUCAAACUACUUGUUCUCAAGGGAACGGUAAAGUUUAAUAGUAUUAUCAAUUUAGAACAAUUUUUGAGUUUUUUCUUUUAUUUUUCAUGUUCGAGUCCAUAAUUACUCCUUCUAAUAAUGUCGUCUUUAAAGUUUGAGUUCGAAUUCAAAUUCUCUUUUUGGAAGUACAAUAUGCCUUAUAAUUAUACCUAAUACUUUUGAUUUUUGUAAAAUAUAAGAAUCAAAAUUGUGUAGUAGGAUUAAUUUCUAGAUUUUUUAAAUUUAAAAUUUAUAAUAUUAUCAAUCGCAUCACACACAAAACCAAAGAACAAGAGAAUCUAAAAAACACGUGGACCAUUAAUUUAGGAAUGGACAUUAUAUUUUAUUAGUGGAAUAAACUCAUGCAAAAUGGUUGGAAAACACAUACAGGAUUAUAUAUACUAAUCAUUUUUAUUAUUAAGCAGAAUCGGAAAUAAAUAAAUACGAGCGAAACCACUGAAUAAUACAGCAUUGAAAUGCAAUUUGUCUACAUCAUUAUUGUUCUUCACUUCAAACGCGGAGACUAGUCUAGGCUCCCAAUCUUUUGCUUUAUCUCUCUAGAUAUAUCCUUUUCAAACUAUCUUUUUGUAGCUUUAUUUGCAUCACAGCAUUAUCUUUUCCUGCAAACAACUGUUCAAUGAUUAAAACAUGCAAAACAUUCUGAAAUAAUGCACCCUUACCAGAUGACAAAAAAAAAAAAAGAUUCUAAUGUAUCUUACCUUGGAUUGGAGCACGGUCAAAGCCGUGGCUUAGUAGUGGUGAGGAGGAGGGGGUGAAGCGUAGACAUAAUGGGGUGGUGGUGGUGGAGGAGACUUGUAUUUGUAAACUGGAGGAGGAGGUGGUGGAGACUUGUACUUGUAAGGGUGCUUGGGGGGUGAUGGUGGGGGUGGUGGGGGUGACUUGUACUUGUAGGGGUGCUUGGGUGGUGACGGUGGGGGUGGGGACUUGUACUUGUAAGGAUGCUUGGGGGGUGAUGGUGGUGGUGGUGGAGGUGACUUGUACUUGUAGGGGUGCUUGGGUGGUGACGGUGGGGGUGGGGACUUGUACUUGUAAGGGUGCUUGGGUGGUGACGGUGGUGGUGGUGGGGGGGACUUGUACUUGUAGGGAUGCUUUGGUGGGGAUGGUGGUGGUGGUGGUGGGGACUUGUACUUGUAGGGAUGCUUAGGUGGUGAUGGUGGUGGUGGUGGAGACUUGUAUUUGUAAGGAUGCUUUGGUGGUGAUGGUGGUGGAGGUGGUGGGGACUUGUACUUGUAAGGGUGCUUGGGUGGUGAUGGAGGUGGAGGUGGUGGAGACUUAUACUUGUAAACUGGAGGUGGUGGGGGUGGAGACUUGUACUUGUAAGGGUGCUUGGGUGGUGACGGAGGUGGAGGUGGUGGAGACUUAUACUUGUAAACUGGAGGUGGUGGGGGUGGAGACUUGUACUUGUAAGGGUGCUUGGGUGGUGAUGGUGGGGGUGGGGGUGGCGACUUGUACUUGUAGGGGUGUUUAGGUGGUGAUGGUGGUGGUGGUGGUGGUGGUGGGGACUUGUACUUGUAAGGAUGCUUGGGUGGUGAUGGUGGUGGAGGAGACUUGUACUUGUAAGGAUGCUUGGGUGGUGAUGGUGGUGGAGGUGGUGGAGACUUAUACUUGUAAACAGGAGUUGGUGGGGGAGGAGAUUUGUACUUGUAAGGUUUCUUGUGUG
Molecule: long non-coding RNA, 56169 nt
Filed under: Gossypium barbadense (sea-island cotton)
Lineage: Eukaryota; Viridiplantae; Streptophyta; Magnoliopsida; Malvales; Malvaceae
Description: long non-coding RNA (GBAR_LNC014012)
Source: RNAcentral